This 68636-nucleotide long non-coding RNA is filed under the name Triticum aestivum (bread wheat). RNAcentral describes it as "long non-coding RNA (TAES_LNC027153)". The record is from RNAcentral. Lineage: Eukaryota; Viridiplantae; Streptophyta; Magnoliopsida; Poales; Poaceae.
UUUUUGUUUUUGUUAUUUCUCGAUUUUCCUGCUUCCUAACAUUUUUUUCUUUUUUGCACUAGCUUGUUUUCUUUUUUUCUAUUUGAUUUUCUUUGUUUCUUUUUUGGUUCAUUUGGAUAGUUUAUUUUUUUUCUUUUUUUCUUCAAAACAUGUCUACACUUUUUACACAGUGCAUACUUUUUAUAUCUCCAGAAUAUUUUUAAUACAUGAUUAGAAUUUUUUAAUUGUAUAUUUUGAUGUCUAUCGUUUUAUAUACAUUGUAAAUAUAUUUGGUAUACAUCUAAUUUUUUUAUACAGGUUUAAUGUUUUUGAUAUACAUNNNNNNNNNNNNNNNNNNNNNNNNNNNNNNNNNNNNNNNNNNNNNNNNNNNNNNNNNNNNNNNNNNNNNNNNNNNNNNNNNNNNNNNNNNNNNNNNNNNNNNNNNNNNNNNNNNNNNNNNNNNNNNNNNNNNNNNNNNNNNNNNNNNNNNNNNNNNNNNNNNNNNNNNNNNNNNNNNNNNNNNNNNNNNNNNNNNNNNNNNNNNNNNNNNNNNNNNNNNNNNNNNNNNNNNNNNNNNNNNNNNNNNNNNNNNNNNNNNNNNNNNNNNNNNNNNNNNNNNNNNNNNNNNNNNNNNNNNNNNNNNNNNNNNNNNNNNNNNNNNNNNNNNNNNNNNNNNNNNNNNNNNNNNNNNNNNNNNNNNNNNNNNNNNNNNNNNNNNNNNNNNNNNNNNNNNNNNNNNNNNNNNNNNNNNNNNNNNNNNNNNNNNNNNNNNNNNNNNNNNNNNNNNNNNNNNNNNNNNNNNNNNNNNNNNNNNNNNNNNNNNNNNNNNNNNNNNNNNNNNNNNNNNNNNNNNNNNNNNNNNNNUUACACAUUAGAAACACAUUUUUAUACACAUUUAACCUUUUUUGAAUUACAAGAACAUUUUCAUACAUUGCAUAAACAUUAUUAAAAACAUGUACAUGUUUUUGAAACGCGUGAUCAUUUUGUAAAUGUCAUAAUUUUUUUCAAAAGCUAUCAACAUUGCUUAAGUUACUCUAACAAACAAAUUAUUCUGGGUUAACAUUUUUCAAAUUCUCGAUUAUAUUUUUUAUGAAGUAAAUUAUGUUUUUGAAUUCUUGUAUUGAAUAUGUAUUCAAAAAUACAAACAAAAGAAAAGAAGAAGAAUCUAGAAACAUACAAAAAAUGGGACUAACCUGAAAGUUGGGUCGGCCCAUUAUUUGCGGUUGGGAAGGUGUUCCUUCAGCGCGACCUUCUUUGGUCUUGCUAUAAGUGAGGCAUAGGCGCUCCCCUCUCCAAAGGCAAAGUCUCCCAACCAACGCGUCUACUAGCGUCCAACGGUGCUUCUCAUGCCGCCAUCGCCCUUGUCAUCUGAGAAAACUAGGUCCCCUCCCCUUAGGCUGCCAUCUUGGCGCUAAGAGGUGGGGGGACCUUGUAUCUUUUAAGACCUCAAUGUUCUUCGUCAACGCCUAGUGAUCAUCAUAGUUUUUUGAGAAUAAAUUCUCUCUCUUUUUUUGGCAGUGCUAUGAGGUUAGAGAGUUUUCUGUUGGGGUCUGAUGAGUUUAUUUGGAUCUGAUGAGUUUAUGUUGCUGUGUCAAGCUUUUUUUGUUGGUUUGAUUCAUUGUGGGUGUGAAAUCUUUCAUUGGCAGCAUGGUGAAGAUAUAGUGAUUCGACAGCCUACACUUCUGAGGGAUCAUCCCUGGCCCAAGUACGUUCAUCGAUCAAGGCUUCCCAUCUUUUUGGGUGGCCGACUCAUGGCGCGUUCAAAAAUCAUUAUUGGUAAUGCUCGUGCGGGUUAAAGAGUGACAAUAUCGUUGCUCCAGUCCAAUUGCAGUCUCUGUACCUAAGUCUUUGGAGUAUUUGUUCAAGUAGAGACAAAUACCGCAAAGGUGUUUUCAAAAAAUUUCAUUGCAAUUCUUCAUAGGCGUUACUUUGCAUUUUUUUUCUUAAAUCUUAGGUUCAAAUCAAUGUACCUGUAAUUGUUAUGAGUUGAAUAAAGUAACAUAUGUUUCUAAAAAAAAGAUGCUCCCUUCAAAUUUGGGCACAAUCAAACCUGGCCAACUAGGUCGUUCCUAGCAUGCCAGCUCAUUAGCACGUGUGUCUGGUCCAUCAUGGGCCUAGCUGACAUGUGGCUAAACGGGUCGUGCCCAACACACGGCACGCCAUGGGCUGUUCCUGGGUCGUGAGGUGAGUCCUGUGUGCCUGGACGACUCGUUUAUUUUUUUUCUGUUUAAUUUUUGUAUAUAUACCAAAAAAAAUCCACCCUCCCUCCAAAAAAAUCAUCUGAAAUUGGCCCAAAACGCAUGGCCCAUUAGGGAUUAAUGUGUCACGGACCAGCCCAUUUAUUAAGAGCAUGCUUGGAUACGUUUUAGUCCCAUGACUAAAAGUAGUGGGACUAAAACUUGCUAGUCUCACCCAUGCUUGGAUCCAAAUACUAAAGAGACUAAAAUCUAGUUAUUGAGCAUUUAUUAUCCUCCAAACCCUCCAAUCCAGAACUAAGGAGAGGAAUUAAAUGAGGAGAGAGAGAGCUAAUACAUAUUUUAGUAGGUUUCCCAUGACUAAAAGAUUUUAGCCUCAAAACUAGUCCUAACCUCUUUUUAGUCAGGGGUGCUUGGAACUUUAGCCUCUAAAAGAGACUAUUUUUAGUCAGACUAAAAAUAGUCCCUUGUAUCCAAGCACCCUCUAAAUGUGUCGUGCCUUGGCGGGGAGGUGCGGCUAGCGUGCCGACACGUCAUAAACAGUGUAUAAGCAUGUCACCGUGGAUCGUGUCAUGGCAGACACGUUUAAGUGAGGGCCGUGCCGGCCCACUUGGGCAGGUUUGGACACAACAACCCAGAAGUUCAAAUAUGAAGAAGAAACAAUACGAUCUAAAAAAACAAAACAGCCUAAUGGGAAAAAAAGUAAAUAAUGUGCAACAUGUUCCGGCUUUCCCACCAAAGAUACCAUGAACAAGUUUAUACUAUUUCAUAAAGCCUAAUGGAAUGGGUUGCAUCUAAGUAUGAACCAAGCAGAUGGUUGUUUGACAAUGUUGAAUUUUUUUAUGAAAAUUAGUCAAUGUGUACAUGCAAUGCACGUUAAUUUUAAAGUAUAUUAAGUGCAUGCGGAUAUUAAGCAUGAUAUUAUUUGCGUGUUAUUAUGUGAUUAGCACUAUAUUUGAUAUGAAAUUAACUGCACGCUAAACGUGUUGAGCGAUCGAUAUUAAAGCAGUCUAGGUCGUUGGAUUGAUAUGAUUUGAUGGCCGAAAUUAAUUAGAUCUGCUUCUUUGGUUCUUUUUAUAUUGAUAUAGAUAUAGAUAUAGAUUAUAUUGGUAUAGAUAUACUAGGGUUGAUUUGAGCAAGUUCCUCAAUGAAGCAUCUCCCCAGUCAGUCUAACAUGAACCUCCUACGUGGAUAAUUUACUGAGUUCUCAUUCUUUGCCGUGCGUUCUUCUACCACACGGGUGGCGUGUGAUUUUCAUGUAGUGACCAUUCAUUAGUCACUUCCCUUAAAAAACUUGAAGAAGAUCAAACAAACAACAAAACCUGGUAAAACAAAUUCAUAUAUAGUCCUCGCAGGUACAACGCUCAAGCGGAUGGCGACAUUUCCUCUUCGAGUUUGUCUUUCGAACUUUGAUCUCCCUCGAGUUUAUCUAUUUGCACAUAGUCGAUGGAGCUCCGACGUAUAUUCCUGUCGUCUCCUUGGGACGGCGAGGUUAGAGUUUCUUGUACGGGAUUUAGUCGUUUAGUGGCCUCGGAAUCUUGAUGUAAUAAUUUGUUUUAUGUUUGAGAUACUUUGUAACUUUAGUGAAUUUUUAUAAUAGAUUGAUUCUUUUCACAAAAAACUAGUCAUAUACAGUACUACUAUACAACCAGCUACACUGCCUACAAGCAAAGCACGACUAUACUUACAUUAUAUUAGUAGAUGCAUCUGAAGUAAAACAUAUACUCCCUCCCUUCGGAAUUACUUUUCUCGAAAAUGGAUGUAUCUUGAACUAAAACACGUCUAGAUACAUUCAUUUCUGCGACAAAUAAUUCCAACGGAGGGAGUAUAUAGUAGAACAAUCUAGCUUGCCCGACAAGUCGAAAUUACAUGGCAACCAAUCGGUACGACGAGCAGAAUGAUCAAGCGGUUGCUUCUUCCGUUGACGACAACUUGGCGUAUCCAGCAGCCCCGAGCUGGUUGUCGCUGUUCUCUUUGCGCUCGUAGUAGAACGCGGUCAUGGCGCAGACGGCGAACAGCUGCACCAGUGCCAUCAGAGCCGCGUAUACAAAACCCAGGAGCAGCCCAAGCGCCACGCUACCGCCCGGGCAUGUCGUCGCGAGCGUGUGCACCGGCGAUAAGACGGCGGCCAGGGCGCCGAUAACGGCGACGUACAUCACGACCUGCCUCCUCUUCCCCUUGGCCAGCCUCCACGCCCUGCCUAACGCGGCCGCGCCGUGGCAGCCGGGCUCGUCCACCGCCACGACGACGCUGAAGGAGCACAGGAAAGAGAAGUAGACGAGGAAGACGGCGGCCGCACCGAGGAGCAGGCCCGACGCCAGGAGGAGCACCAUGAAGUACUUCCUCAGCAUGGCCAUGAGGAGACCGAGGAGCGCGCCCACGAACGCCAGAAGCACGAUGCACACGAUUUCCAGGACGUAGACGAAGGCGAGCGUGAGCAGAGGUCCCUUGAGCUGCGCCUUGGCUUUACCCAGGAGCGUGUAAGAUUUGAUAGAAAGCGUUGAACCAUUUGCUCGGGCCGCAUGUAUAUUUAUAGAAGAAUUGCCGUGGCUUACAAUGUUUCCAAAUUACAACGAGAGACAGAUUUGGAGAAGAAAAACAGAAGAAGAGAUAGAACCAGAACAAGUUUAAACAUAUCUCACUACCUCUACGUAUCCUAUUCUAACAUCCUCCCUUAAUCCAAACCUAUGAAAAAUUCUCUAGGUUUAGAUUGUAUUUGAACUCGUUCAAUCUCCUUGUAGUAAGCGGUUUAGUGAAGCCAUCGGCGAGUUGAUCUCUUGUGGGAAUAAACUUGAUGUCAAGUAGCUUUCGUGCUACUCUUUCUCUCACGAAGUGGAAAUCAACCUCUAUGUGUUUUGUACGUGCAUGGAACACAGGAUUUACAGAAAGAUAGGUAGCCCCAAUGUUGCCACACCAUAACCUUGCAGCUUGUGGAAUUUUGAUCCCUAAUUCAUAUAGAAGGGUCUGAAUCCACAUGAUCUCAGCUGUUGCAUUUGCAAGAGCCUUGUAUUCUGCUUCAGUGCUUGAUCUUGAUACAGUAGCCUGUUUCCUUGCACUCCAUGACACAAGGUUUGAUCCCAGAAACACAACAAAUCCACCAGUAGACCUUUUAUCAUCAGGGCAUCCUGCCCAGUCAGCAUCUGAAUAUGCACUAACUAGCAAAGAUGAUGACUUAACAAUCUUCAUUCUAAGUCCCAUUGUGAACUUUAGAUACCUCAAAAUUCUUUUUACUGCAGUCCAAUGAACUGUACUAGGUGCAUGCAAGAACUGACAUACUUUGUUGACAGAAUAUGAAAUAUCAGGUCUAGUCAAUGUUAAGUAUUGUAGAGCACCAACAACACUCCUAUAGUUUGUUGCAUCAUUCGGUCCAAGUAACUCACCUCCUUCAAUUGUAAGUUUCUCAGAAGUGGAGAGUGGUGUACUAACCGGUUUGCAAUGUUCCAGUCCUACCCUUCUUAAAAUAUUUGUGGUGUAUUUUUCUUGUGUAAGAAGUAUUCCAUCCUUGAUCUGUUUUACCUCUAUACCAAGAAAAUAGUGAAGAUCACCCAAAUCCUUAAGUGCAAACUCCACAUUAAGAUCACGAAGCAGGCAGGUAGUGGCUUCUGAGCUGGAACUAGCAACAAUUAUAUCAUCAACAUAGACAAGAACAAACAUAGAGAUGUAGCCUUUGUGAUAAAAGAAUAGUGAGGUAUCUGCCUUGCUUGGAACAAAACCAAGUUGUUGUAACUGAGUACUUAACCUAGAGUACCAGGCUCUUGGAGCCUGUUUUAAGCCAUACAAAGCUUUGUCCAAUUUACAAACAAAAUGAGGUGUGCUCUUGUUUUCAUACCCUGGUGGUUGCUGCAUGAACACUUCUUCCUCAAGAACACCAUGAAGAAACGCGUUCUGAACGUCUAGUUGGCGUAAACUCCACCCUCUGGAAAUAGCAAUAGACAAUACAAGUCGAAUAGUAGCUGCCUUAACAACAGGGCUAAAGGUAUCCUCAUAGUCAAUUCCAAACCUUUGUUUAAACCCUUUUGCAACCAAUCUAGCUUUGUAUCUAUCUAUGCUUCCAUCAGACUUCCUUUUAAUCUUAUAGACCCAUUUGCAGUCAAUCAAAUUCCUUCCCUUUUCUGGUGGUACAAGAUGCCAAGUUUUAUUUUUCAUGAGCGCUUGAUAUUCAUUGUCCAUAGCCCCUUUCCAUUCUUUGUGAGCAAGUGCUUCGGCUAAAUGAGUAGGUUCACCCGAGUUUGUGAGAAAAGCAUAUUUGCGAGAGUCAUACCUUACUGUACCAUCCUUGUACUCCUUAGGCUUGAACACUCCAGAUUUUGACCUGGUAUGGCGCUGAUGAAUUUCAGGUGACCCACAUGUAGCAGUUGUUGUAGUUUCAGGAUUUCCAGAGUCGACCGCAGAAGAUCCGGCCAAAUCAUCCUGGACUGCAGCGCCACAGGGCUCCAGAUCCGAGGAGGGCGCGCAAUCCGGCGAGAUCUGCCUCGCACUAGGUGCCCCAGCAGGGGAUCUCCGCACAGGGCUGUCGGCAGGUCCCGGUUCGGUCGGGCUGUCGGCCACACAGCGCGCCGGUUCCCGCGUGGCGCGUGCAGGCGGGCUGCACCCCGCACCAUCUGGGUCCACGCCUGUGUCUCGGUCGGCCACUGGCUCGGCUGGUGGGCUCGCCCUGCCACUUGGCGUCACGGGAGACGCGGAAGGCGUCGCUGCACGCCCUGUACGCCGAACUGCAGGAGUAUCCAUCUGGGAUCGGGCGCCUUCCCUAGAGCUGCAGUCCUGCGCCAAAUCAGUCUCGGAUCCAGCGCAGGUUUCGUCCUCUUCUGCACACAUAAAAUCAUAGCCAGGUGCUGCAUUGUUUUCAUUAGUAUCUGAAUUUUUUUCUGGAAUAGACACAUGAUCAUGUUCUAUUAAUUCUCCCCCGUGAUCAGGACAUGUCAAAGGAUCCGAGAGAAGGGAGAUUUCUGCUCGAAGAAGAGCUCCCGCAUUUGGAUGAAGUUUGGCAAAAAGGGAAAAUAGUUUCAUCAAAAAUGACAUCCCUAGAGAUGUAGAUGCGUCCAGUUGAAACUUCUAGACACUUGUAUCCCUUAUGAAGAUUGCUAUAUCCAAGAAAGACGCAUUGAGUAGAGCGAAACUCGAGUUUGUGGCGAUUGUAUGGACGAAGAUUAGGAUAACAUGCACAACCAAAAACUUUGAGAGAAUUAUAAUCUGGCUUUUGAAACAAUCGUUCUAAAGGAGUUGUGUUCCCAAUAACUUUAGUAGGCAAACGAUUGAUGAGAUAGGUGGCAGCAAUGAAUGCUUCAUCCUAAUACUUUAGAGGCAUAGAUGCAUGAGCAAGAAGGGAAAGGCCUACUUCAACGAUAUGACGGUGUUUGCGUUCAGUAGAACCGUUCUGUUGGUGUGCAUGUGGACACGAAACAUGAUGCUCAAUGCCUAUGCUUCUGAAGAAAGAGUUGAGCUUCUCAUACUCUCCUCUCAGUCACUCUGGACUGUAAUGAUUUUCUUGUUAAAUUGACGUUUAACAAGUUUUUGGAAUUCUUGGAAGACAGAGAAGACUUCGGAUUUGAACUUAAGCAAGUAUAUCCAUGUAAACUUACUAUAAUCAUCAAUGAAGCUAACAUAAUAUUUCUUUCUUCCAAAAGAAUCUCUGGCAUGACCCCAUACAUCACUGAAUAUCAGUUCCAACGGAGCAUGAGACAUACUAUUUGAUCUAGGAUAGGGGAGUUGGUGACUCUUGGCACAUUGGCAAGCAUCACAAACAGACUCUUUAUUCUCGUGACUAGACAAUUUAAGAUUGCCUUUACACUACUUGAUCAACUAUUUUAAGUGAAGGAUGACCUAAUCUUUGAUGCCACCUCUCUAAAGAUGGCUUUAUGACGGAGUAGACUUGGCGAGGAUGCUUGCGGCUAAAAGCUCUUGAUGUGAUAGGGUAUAGACCACCGACGCAUCUACCGUGAUGGAGGAGCUCCCUCGUUGCCCGAUCCUUAAUGAAAAAAAAUACUUGGGAUGAGUUUCAAAAAAGAUAUUAUUAUCAGCGGACAAACGAGACAUGGAAACAAGAUUUUUGUUGGCUUGAGGGACAUGAAGAACAUCUUUUAGAAGAAGAUCACGUUUAAUAUUAGGGAAAUUAAUAGAAAAUUGACCAAUGUGACAUAUGUCCAUACCUCCUCCACUUGCGGCGGUAUUUAUCUGAUCAUUGCCAUAAUAUCUCUCUCGGUUUGCAAGCUUCUCCAAUUCGCUAGUGACAUGAUCUGUAGCUCCAGAAUCAGCAUACCAGAUGGUUUCACCAGCUUCUUCUUGCUCCCCGAUGGCUGCAGCUACAUGGCGCUCUUCAGGCACGUAAUCUUCGUCAUAGCGGUGCCAGCAAUCUUUCACCUCAUGCCCUGGCUUCUUGCAAAGCUGGCAACGCGGCCUGGUGUUGGAGUAGGAGGCGCCGGAGGAGCAUGGGCCAGAGUUGUUGGCGCGCCCACGCCCGCUGUUGUUGCUGUUGCCGCGUCCGCGCCCCUGUUGGUGACCGCGGUGACCACGGCCUCGGCUUCCAGUGCCGCGACCAUGUGAGAUAGAAUUAACCAAAGACUGGCGGAUGUUGUUACCUUGUAGCAUAUUCAUACGGGCUUCAAAACUUAGCAACUGAUUGUAGAGCUCUUGGACGGUCACUGGCUCGACGCGUGCAGCCAGGGCUGAGAUCACCGGGUUACACUCAAUGUCCAGCCCUUUGAGCACAUAGGAGGUUAGCUCUCCUUCAGAGAGGGGAUCACCGGUGCAGGCAAUCUCAUCGGCGAAGGCCUUGAUCUUCGCCAGAUACUCAGGCAUGCCCAUGCUCCCUUUGUGCAGAUUGGCGAGGGCGAUGCGGGUGUUGACGAUCUGUGCUUGCGUCUGGGCAGCAAAGGAGGCGUGGAUGGCACUCCACACCUCGGCCGGCGUCUGAAGAGUAGCGACCUGCGCAAGAAUCUCACGUGACAGAGACCCCAUAAGGUAUCCUUGUACCUGUUGCUGCUGGGCGUACCAGAUUGACCGGGCGUAGUUGAAGACUUGCUCCUCUUUCCCAUCUUUGGUGACGGUGAUGGUAGGAGGGGGCGCCAGGCUUGCGGCGUCGAGGAAGUGUUCCAUCUGUGCUCCCUUUAUUUGGGGUAGCACGAUGGCCUUCCAGAGGAGGAAGUUCAUCCUCGUGAGCUUCUCAGAUGAAGGAGACCCGAGAGAAGAGACGCUGCUGAAGGUGGAAGAAGAUGCAUAGGUGGACGGUGCAGAUUGGGUGGACAAGGCGCUCAUGGUGGAUUCAAUCAAGGCGGUAUUAGUGGCGGCGAUGGUGGAGGCAGUGGUGCUGGCAUUGGUGCCUGACAUGUUUUCUCUCGAUGUCUCUCGCUGGAUAGGUUUCAGGUUUCUCUCUCGAUCAACUAGAUCGAUCUCUCAGGGAAGACUAGACGUACGAGAGGAAGGGCUCUGAUGACCAUGUAAGAUUUGAUAGGAAGCGUUGAACCCUUUGCUCGGGCCGCAUGUAUAUUUAUAGAAGAGUUGCCGUGGCUUACAAUGUUUCCAGAUUACAACGAGAGACAGACUUGGAGAAGAAGAACAGAAGAAGAGAUAGAACCAGAACAAGUUUAAACAUAUCUGACUACCUCUACGUAUCCUAUUCUAAUAGAGCGCGCCCAAGGUAAAGGUAGUGCGCUGCUCCUCCUCGCCGGAGUACGUCAAGACGGCGGCGAAGAGGAGGACGAUCCGGACGACCGAGGUGAUGACGACCGAGAGCAAGAGGUACCCCGCGCCCACGAGCAGCAGCUCCCUGGUGUCAUCCUGGAUCUCAUGUACGAGCCUGGCGAAGUCCGGGCUGCCCGGGUCGGUGUUGUUCAGCGCCUUGGCAUCGAGCUGGAUCUCGUUGGCGAGGGGCUGGAUGGCGAGGUCGCUGCCUAGGAGGAGCAGCGCGGUGGAGGCGGCGACGACGGCGUAGAGCGCAAAGAAGAGCCUCCUGUUGCGGGUCGGGAGGAGGCCUUCCUUUAGGAAGUUGAAGAACGAAGUCGCCAUGGCUAUGGGUCGAUCGAUCGAGUAGCUAGCUAGCUGGAAAUGACCGCGAUGAUGCUGCUGAGAGAAGAGAGACGCACUGAUGAUAUAUAGAUAGUGUUUGUUUCCAGGGGCUUAUUGGUCUAGGGACUUAAAUAAGUCCCUAUAAGUCCCAUCUAAACCAAAUAGAAGGGACUUAUAGGGAUUUAAAGUAGGCAUUUGGGACUUAUGAAAUAAGACUGUCAAGGAGGGACUUAUAGGGACUUAUAGUUGUAAUAUGGUCUUAUAGAGACUUAUAAGUCCCAGGAACCAAACAGGUAGGGACUUUUUAGGGACUUGAGACUUAUAAGUUGGGACUAAAAAAGCCCUAGGACUUAUGAACCAAACAUGGUUAUAGUACUAGCAGAGUAGAAGUACAGGAGAUUACUGGGUAAUCAUCAAGGAAGGCAGGGGAUUACUAUUGGAUAAGAGUAAUGCUACACGUACAAACGAGUUAUAAGGUUUUAUAAAGAGGCUUAAUUUAAUUGGUCAAUAGGUGGGGAGGCGAUCCACCCCUCUGAAAAUCAAGGGGGCCAAGUUUAUGUCAAGGAUCGGGCUUGCCUCCCUUUCCAUGCACCCAUCCCUUGAUUUUAACGGGACGGGUCCGGGGUUUAUUUUGUUCCAACCGCCACAUACGUGGGAGCACGGAUGGACGCACUCACGGGGCGUAGGUAAGUCUUAUCCUUAACGCGUGGCGACUAGUACUGUGUAGCGACUAGUGAGUAAUGAAUGAACAGGAGUAGGACUGUGGGAGUAGGAGACUUUGAUAGCUUGACGUGACAGAGUCAAUUACCAGGAAGGUGGACAUCUGAACUGUUCAACGCGGGGGUGUGAUGUGACUACUCUUCAAAAUCUUUUGUGGUGUACAAUAGCAAAUCCAGUAGAAUCGUCAAAACAAAUACCCUCUAUAACGUGUACUGUACGUACUCUAAAACUGUAAUUUUGGAGGCCGUAGAGAUUAUCCGAAAACAUAAGAGCCGCCACAAGUUCCUUUUUUCUCAUUUCCUUUCUUGUUUGCAUAUUUUCAAAAAAAAUACUUCUAAAUAGGAGGCAUUAAAACACUGAAUAAAACUGGAUCAACACUUCAACAAGAUCAGAAAUAAAUAAUCCAUAUAUAUUCAGCAAAUGUCGGUUGCUUUCUACUCCCUUUGUAAACACAAGUCUAUAAAACAUCUUAUACUCCCUCCGGUCCUUUUUACUCUGCAUAUAAGGAUUGUCCAAAGUCAGACUUCGUAAAGUUUGACCGUAUUUAUAUGAAAAAGUAUUAACAUCUACAAUCCAAAAUUUAUACAAUAUGAAAAGUAAAGUCAUGACACAGUCUAAAUCUCAAUACUUUUUUCUAUAAAUUUGGUCAAAGUUUACGAGGUUUGACUUCAGAUAAAUUUUAUAUGCGAACUAAAAAGGACCGGAGAAAGUAUUUGUUUACAAAGGAAGUACAUAUUUGGUGAUUAUUGCGAUUAAAAUAUGACAAAGUGGUGUUUAGGUACAUCACCACUAGCUAGUAGACUAGAUCGAUAGGCAAUGUGUCACUAUAGGACAUUGCUAGUAGAUAUGACGGUCUUUUGACGCGGUCUAGUAGUAGCCAAAUCACAUGAAUGCAAUUAGUUUGUCUUGUGACACUGCAUGCCAAUAACGAAUGUGGAAAUCUACAUAGACGAUUGACUUUUCAAGUCAAAUGCAUGUACAGCCAUGUUAAGCUACAUAGACUGUUCCCGCAAAAAAAAAAACUACAUAGACUGCAUAUAGACUUGUGAAGGCAUGUGUAGUGGAGAAUUUGGAAAAGGAGGUACGAUUGUCUUUUGCACUGAAGUUUGUGAGAUGAGUAUCUAAAAGCAUCUUUAGUAGACCCCGUAUAAGUGAUCAAACCCGUAAAAUAAUCGCUUUUUACAGUUUCAGUCAAAAAAAAAGACCCCAAUAGACCCCUUAAAAUCGACCGACCCUUAAAUUUUUUUUAAAGACCUUGUGAACGCGAAGCCAAAAUCCUCAUAUCUACAGUUUUGAAAGCAAUUUUGUCAGGACCUGAAUACCGGUCAACGUUGGCGGUUGAGAAAUCUCUGCUCGCGCCAACGCCAUGAAACUCGCCCGUCCGCCCGGCCGCCGCGCCCGUCUGCCGCCCGUCCUCGUCGUCCGCCCCGGCCGCGUCUCUCGCUGCGGCGACGGAGGAGCUAGCUAGCUAGCUCGCUCCUGGCUGGAUUCGAGCUGAGCUAGCUAGCUAGCUCGCUCCUGCUUCAUUGUUGACCACUUCGUGUGUUAUUCGUCGGUUUUGCGGGAGCAAGCUAGCUAACCGUGGACAUGGACGAGAGAAAGAAGACGUGGGAAAAGAAUAUAAGUGAAUAUUCCAUUUUAUAGUUUAAGUUUGAGGGGUUUGUUCUGCCGCAGCUAAAACCGACCCUUAAAACGCAUUUUCCGUGAACUGCAAACGCGUUUUGUGGGUCAGCGGGAUGCGGAGUCUGCUACAGAUGCUCUAAGAAUUUCCUUCCUUGCCAACAAAUUCAGUAGACUCGCUGUGCCAACAAACCUAGCGUCAGAUCUCAUCUCGCCGACCCUUUCGUCAAAGCAUGGUUAAUAACAUGUCAUCAUGUUAUUUAUAACUAAUGUAAUAGUUAACAUGUAUAAUAAUUGGCUAUAGGAAAGUACUACUUUGUCAACAUAUGGUUCAUCUUCCAUUCUCAUAAAUCUUCUUGAAGCUUGUGCUACAGCUGAUUGUAAGUUUACAACCCGCUUCUCUUCUUUCUCGUUUUAAUUAUCUGCUUUCCAACCUUCCACUCUCAUAAAGAUUUUAAUCCUUGCAUCAUGCUUACGUCCCCUUAUUAUACUUGCUCUCAAAGGCAAACAGAGUGGAGGGUACACCUUGGCUACGUCCUUCAUGAGCGAGGAGGCGGUACCUGCAAGUGUGCGAGUGGCCACGACGGCGGCGGAUCAUAGCAUUGCGGCACUAGGAAGCAAGCCGUGGUUGUGCGUGUUGUCCAGCACCUGGCCGUGCGUGGUGGUGAGAUACAAACUAUGGGUAAAGACUUGACACGGAGAGAUAGUGGUGCAGUGGCGGUGAUCGCAUCGCAUGUAGCUGCUGGGAUCGAGCACCCAGUCUCGAGCUCCGGGGUGAAGGCCUAGGUUAGACACAAGCGAUUAUACCUGGCAAUGGUGAUGUUUCUCUUACAUUGUUACCUUGUUGAAGGCAUUGCUCGGAUAUGUUUGGAUUGUUUCUUCAGGGUGAAAACCUAGAUUCUGAUGGUGAUACUUGAGUGUCGCUCCCUGCCUGAUGACAUUGUUGUUGAAGAACAUCGUCGUCCAUGUGAUGUUAUGAGAUGGUUGGUGCAGAUAUGAUAUUCACCGUAGUUUGCGAAACGCAUAUCCUAUAAUUUAGCGCUUUUUUCUUUUUUUCCUUGCCUACACGUUAGCUUUGGUCUUAUAUGACUGGUAGUGUCGACGUAUUUUUUACGUGUGUGAGUUGGUGUUCGUUGUGUACAUCCUAAUUAUGCAGGGGCACGUGUGUGCUCAUUGUGUCAUGUAUUUUAUCGAUGCUUCAUUUUGAUUCUGUAAAAUUCACCCUUUAUUGAAAUGACUCAUUGUGCUGCCAGCAGCGCGAAGGAGUCCAGCUGACUGUGGAGGGUCCAGUGCGGUGACAUUGGUGAUCCAGCAAGCCUGGCUUUCUCGUGGUCUCCACUCCGGGGAGAGAGAGAGAAUUGUGCAAACCGACAAAGUGUAGGUGGAUUGGGCUUGUAAUUCAAGGGCUUCCGAAAAAUAGAGCCCAUUUCAAAUUUGAUACCAUUGACAUUGCUGAAGGAAAUAUGCCCUAGAGGCAAUAAUAAAGUUAUUAUUUAUAUUUUUUUAUAUCAUGAUAAAUGUUUAUUAUUCAUUCUAGAAUUUUAUUAACCGGAAACUUAGUACAUGUGUGGAUACAUAGACAAACAAAGUGUCCCUAGUAUGCCUCUACUAGACUAGCUCGUUAAUCAAAGAUGGUUAAGUUUCCUCAGCAUAGACAUGUGUUGUCAUUUGAUGAACGGGAUCACAUCAUUAGAGAAUGAUGUGAUGGACAAGGCCCAUCCGUUAGCUUUGCAUAUAUGAUCGUUUAGUUUUAUUGCUAUUGCUUUCUUCAUGACUUAUACAUGUUCCUCUGACUAUGAGAUUAUGCAACUCCCGAAUACCGGAGGAACACCUUGUGUGCUAUCAAACAUCACAACGUAACUGGGUGAUUACAAAGAUGCUCUACAGGUGUCUCCGAUGGUGUUUGUUGAGUUGGCAUAGAUCGAGAUAAGGAUUUGUCACUCCGUGUUUCGGAGAGGUAUCUCUGGGCCCUCUCGGUAAUGCUCAUUACUAUAAGCCUUGCAAGCAAUGUGACUAAUGAAUUAGUUGCGGGAUGAUGCAUUACAGAACGAGUAAAGAGACUUGCCGGUAACGAGAUUGAACUAGGUAUGAUGAUACCGACGAUCGAAUCUCGGGCAAGUAACAUACCGAUGACAAAGGGAACACCAUAUGUUGUUAUGCGGUUUGACCGAUAAAGAUCUUCGAAGAAUAUGUAGGAGCCAAUAUGGGCACCCCAUGAAUGAGAAAGUUGAAUCUACAUCUCUUUUGCUCUCUUACCAAAACGAAUCUAUCAAAGAGAUGAAGGCUAGCUUAGAUACAAAUUUUCGUAACAUACUUAAUCUUUCUUCUACCAUUAAUGGCCAUGUGCUUUAUCAAAAUAGAAAGAUUAAUUCCAUAGAUAGCAAGUUUGCUCUUUUCUUUCGUAAAACCAAAGGUGGCAAUACCUAGAUUUAUCCUUGCUUUUUAUGCCUAGCUAGGGGCGUUAAACGAUAGCGCUUGUUGGGAGGCAACCCAAUUUUAUUUUUAUUCCUUGCUUUUUGCUCCUGUUUAGUAAUAAAUAAUUUAUCUAGCCUUUAUUUUUGUUGUGUUUUUUUAUGUUUAAUUAGUGUUUGUGCCAUGUAGAACCGUUGGGAAGACUUGGGGAAAGUCUUGUUAAUCUUGCUGUAAAAAAAGAAACUUUAGCGCUCACGAGAACUGCUGCCAUUUUUAUUUGGAAAGUGAUAUUUAGUUAAUUCUUUUUGCAGAUAAUUAAUAGAUAAAUUCCUCACGUCCAGCAAUUUAUUUUAGAAUCUCUGGGGUUCUAGAUUUUGCGUUAGCUACAGAUUACUACAGACUGUUCUGUUUUUAGCAGAUUCUGUUUUUCGUGUGUUGUUUGCUUAUUUUGAUGAAUCUAUGGCUAGUAAAAUAAUUUAUAAACCAUAGAGAAGUUGGAAUACAGUAGGUUUAACACCAAUAUAAAUAAAGAAUGAGUUCAUUACAGUACCUUGAAGUGGUGUUUUGUUUUCUUUCGCAAACGGAGCUCACAAGAUUUUCUACUUUAAGUUUUGUGUUGUGAAGUUUUCAAGUUUUGGGUAAGGAUUUGAUGGAUUAUGGCACAAGGAGUGGCAAGAGCCUAAGCUUGAGGAUGCCCAUGGCACCCCCAAGAUAAUCUAAGGACACCUAAAAGCCAAAGCUUGGGGAUGCCCCGGAAGGCAUCCCCUCUUUCGCCUACUUCCAUCGGUAACUUUACUUGGAGCUAUAUUUUUAUUCACCACAUGAUAUAUGUUUUGCUUGGAGCGUCUUGAAUGAUUUGAGUCUUUGCUUUUUAGUUUAUGAUACGUCUCCAACGUAUCUAUAAUUUUUGAUUGCUCCAUGCUAUAUUAUCUACUGUUUUGUGAAGGAAAUAUGCCCUAGAGGCAAUAAUAAAGUUAUUAUUUAUUUCCUUAUUACAUGAUAAAUGUUUAUUAUUCAUGCUAGAAUUGUAUUAAUCAGAAACAUAAUACAUGUGUGAAUACAUAGACAAACAGAGUGUCACUAGUAUGCCUCUACUUGACUAGCUCGUUAAUCAAAGAUGGUUAUGUUUCCUAACCAUAGACAAAGAGUUGUUAUUUGAUUAACGGGAUCACAUCAUUAAGGAGAAUGAUGUGAUUGACUUGACCCAUUCCGUUAGCUUAGCACUCGAUCGUUUAGUAUGUUGCUAUUGCUUUCUUCAUGACUUAUACAUGUUCCUAUGACUAUGAGAUUAUGCAACUCUCGUUUGCCGGAGGAACACUUUGUGUGCUACCAAACGUCACAACGUAACUGGGUGAUUAUAAAGGAGCUCUACAGGUGUCUCCAAAGGUAAAUGUUGGGUUGGCGUAUUUCGAGAUUAGGAUUUGUCACUCCGAUUGUCGGAGAGGUAUCUCUGGGCCCUCUCGGUAAUGCACAUCACAUAAGCAUUGCAAGCAUUGCAACUAAUGAGUUAGUUGCGAGAUGAUGUAUUACAAAACGAGUAAAGAGACUUGCCGGUAAAGAGAUUGAACUAGGUAUUGAGAUACUGACGAUCGAAUCUCGGGUAAGUAACAUACUGAUGACAAAGGGAACAACGUAUGUUGUUAUGCGGUCUGACCGAUAAAGAUCUUCGUAGAAUAUGUGGGAGCCAAUAUGAGCAUCCAGGUUCUGCUAUUGGUUAUUGACCGGAGACAUGUCUCGGUCAUGUCUACAUUGUUCUCGAACCCGUAGGGUCCGCACGCUUAAGGUUUCGAUGACAGUUAUAUUAUGAGUUUAUGAGUUUUGAUGUACCGGAGUUAGUUCGGAGUCCCGGAUGUGAUCACGGACAUAACGAGGAGUCUCGAAAUGGUCAAGACAUAAAGAUUGAUAUAUUGGACGGCUAUAUUCGGACACCGGAAGUGUUUCGGGUGAUUUCGGAGAAAACCGGAGUACUGGAGGUUUACCGGAACCCCCCCGGGAGAAGUAAUGGGCCAUAUGGGCCUUAGUGGAGAGAGAGAAGGGCAGCCAGGGUGGGCCGCGCGCCUCCUCCCCCCUGGUCCGAAUUGGACUAGGAGAGGUGGGGCGGCGCCCCCCUUUCCUUCUCCCUCCCCACUUCCUUCCCCCUCCUAGUAGGAUUCCUACUCCUACUAGGAGGAGGACUCCUCCUUGGCGCGCCUAUAGGGACGGCCGGCCUCCUCCCCUUGAUCCUUUAUAUACGGGGACAGGGGGCACCCCUAGACACACAAGUUGAUCCACGUGAUCGUUUUCUUAGCCGUGUGCGGUUCCCCCUUCCACCAUAAUCCUCAAUAAUAUUGUAGCAGUGCUUAGGCGAAGCCUUGCGACGGUAGAACAUUAAGAUCAUCACCAUGCCGUCGUGCUGACGGAACUCUUCCCCGACACUUUACUGGAUCGGAGUCUGGGGAUCAUCAUCGAGCUGAACGUGUGCUAAAACUCGGAGGUGCCGUAGUUUCGGUGCUUGAUCGGUCGGGCCGUGAAGACGUACGACUACAUCAACCGCGUUGUGCUAAUGCUUCCGCUGUGGUCUACAAGGGUACGUAGAUCACACUCUUCCCUCUCGUUGCUAUGCAUCAGCAUGAUCUUGCGUGUGCGUAGGAAUUUUUUUGAAAUUACUACGUUCCCCAACAGUGGCAUCCGAGCCUAGGUUUUAUGUGUUGAUGUUGUGCACGAGUAGAACAUAAGUGAGUUGUGGGCGAUAUAAGUCAUACUGCUUACCAGCAUGUCAUACUUUGGUUCGGCGGUAUUGUUGGAUGAAGCGGCCCGGACCGACAUUACGCGUACGCUUACGGGAGACUGGUUCUACCGAUGUGCUUUGCACACAGGUGGCUGGCGGGUGUCAGUUUCUCCAACUUUAGUUGAACCGAGUGUGGCUAUGCCCGGUCCUUGCGAAGGUUAAAACAGCACCAACUUGACAAACUAUCGUUGUGGUUUUUGAUGCGUAGGUAAGAACGGUUCUUGCUAAGCCCGUAGCAGCCACGUAAAACUUGCAACAACAAAGUAGAGGACGUCUAACUUGUUUUUGCAGGGCAUGUUGUGUUGUGAUAUGGUCAAGACGUGAUGAGAUAUAAGUUGUUGUAUGAGAUGAUCAUGUUUUAUUGAAGUUAUCGGCAACUGGCAAAAUCCUUAUGGUUGUCUCUCUAUUGCAUAAGAUGCAAGCGCCCAAUAAUUGCUUUACUUUAUCGCUAUGCGAUAGCAAUAGUUGCAAGAGCAAUUGUUGGCGAGACGACCACGUGACGACACAUUGAUAUAGAUCAAGAUGAUGGAGAUCAUGGUGUCAUGCCGGUGACAAUAGAUAUCAUGAUAGUACUUUGGAGAUGGAAAUGAAAGGCGCAAGAUGAUGAUGGCCAUACAUGUCACAUAUUUUGAUUGCAUAUGAUGUUUAUCUUUUAUACAUCUUAUUUUGCUUAGUUUGAUGGUAGCAUUUUAAGAUGAUCUCUCACUAAUUAUCAAGAAGUGUUCUCCCUGAGUAUGCACCGUUGCGAAAGUUCUUCAUGCUGAGACACCACGUGAUGAUCGAGUGUGAUAGGCUCUGCGUUCAAAUACAACGGGUGCAAAAUAGUUGCACACGUGGAAUACUCAGGUUAUACUUGACGAGCCAAGCAUAUACAGAUAUGGCCUCGGAACAUGGAGACCGAAAGGUCGAGCAUGAAUCAUAUAGUAGAUAUGAUCAACAUAGUGAUGUUCACCAAUGAAACUACUCCAUCUCACGUGAUGAUCAGACAUGGUUUAGUUGAUUUGGAUCACGUGAUCAUUUAGAGGAUUAGAGGGGUGUCUAUCUAAGUGGGAGUUCUUAAGUAAUAUGAUUAAUUGAACUUUAAUUUAUCAUGAACUUAGUCCUUGUUGUAUUAGCAUAUCUAUGUUGUAGAUCAAUAGCUCGCAUUGUUGCUUUCAUAUGUUUAUUUUGAUAUGUUCCUAGAGAAAAUUGUGUUGAAAGAUGUUAGUAGCAAUGAUGCGGAUUGGAUCCGUGAUCUGAGGUUUAUCCUCAUUGCUGCACAGAAGAAUUAUGUCCUUGAUGCACCGCUAGGUGAUAGACCUAUUGCAGGAGUAGAUGCAGACGCUAUGAACAUUUGGCUAGCUCAAUAUGAUGACUACUUGAUAGUUUAGUGCACCAUGCUUAACGGCUUAAGAAUCAGGACUUCAAAGACGUUUUGAACGUCAUGGACCAUAUGAGAUGUUCCAGGAGUUGAAGUUAAUAUUUCAAGCAAAUACCCGAGUUGAGAGAUAUGAAGUAUCCAACAAGUUCUAUAGCUAAAAGAUGGAGGAGAAUCGCUCAACUAGUGAGCAUGUGCUCAGAUUGUAUGGGUACUACAAUUGCUUGAAUCAAGUGGGAGUUAAUCUUCCAGAUAAAAUAGUGAUUGACAGAAUUCUCUAGUCACCAUCACCAAGUUAGUAGAACUUCAUGAUGAACUAUGAUAUGCAAGGGAUAACGGAAACGAUUCCAAGAUCUUCAUGAUGCUAAAAUCAACGAAGGUAGAAAUCAAGAAAAGCAUCAAGUGUUGAUGGUAAACAAAACCACUAGUUUCAAGUAAAGGGACAAAGGGAAGUAAGGGGAACUUCAAGAAGAACGGCAAGCAAGUUGCUGCUCAAGUGAAAAACCCAAGUCUGGACCUAAGCUUGAAACUGAGUGCUUCUACUACAAAGGGACUAGUCACUGGAAGUGGAACUACCCCAAGUAAUUGGCGGAUAAGAAGGAUGGCAAAGUGAACAUAAGUAUAUUUGAUAUAUAUGUUAUUGAUGUGUACUUUACUAGUGUUUAUAGCAACACCUCAGUAUUUGAUACUAGUUCAGUUGCUAAAGUAACUCAAAACAGGAGUUGCAGAAUAAACAGAGACUAGUUAAGGGUGAAGUGAUGAUGUGUGUUGGAAGUGGUUCCAAGUUUGAUAUGAUCAUCAUCGCACACUCCCUAUACUUUCGGGAUUAAUGUUGAACCUAAAUAAGUGUUAUUUGGUGUUUGCGUUGAGCAUGAAUAUGAUUUGAUCAUGUUUAUUGUAAUACGGUUAUUCAUUUAAGUAAGAGAAUAAAUUGUUGUUCUGUUUACAUGAAUAAAACCUUAUAUGGUUACACACCCAAUGAAAAUUGUUCAUUGGAUCUCGAUCGUAGUAAUACACAUAUUCAUAAUAUUGAAACCAGAAGAUGCGAAGUUAAUAAUGAUAGUGCAACUUAUUUGUGGCACUGCCGUUUAGGUCAUAUCAGUGUAAAGCGCAUGAAGAAACUCCAUACUGAUGGACUUUUGGAACCACUUGAUUAUGAAUCACUUGGUACUUGCGAACCGUGCCUCAUGGGCAAGAUUACUAAAACACCGUUCUCCGGUACUAUGGAGAGAGUAACAGAUUUGUUGGAAAUCAUACAUACUGAUGUAUGUGGUCCGAUGAAUAUUGAGGCUCGUGGCAGGUAUCAUUAUUUUCCGAUCUUCACAGAUGAUUUGAGCAGAUAUGAGUAUAUCUACUUGAUGAAACACAAGUCUGAAAUAUUUGAAAAGUUCAAAGAAUUUCAGAGUGAAGUGGAGAAUCAUCGUAACAAAAAUAAAAGUUUCUAUGAUAUGAUCGCAGAAGUAAAAUAUUUGAGUUACGAGUUUGGCCUUCAGUUAAAACAAUGUGAAAUAGUUUCACUACUCACGCCACCUGGAACACCACAAUGUAAUGGUGUGUCCGAACGUCAUAACCGUACUUUAUUAGAUAUGGUGCGAUCUAUGAUGUCUCUUACCGAUCUACCACUAUCGUUUUGGGGUUAUGCAUUAGAGACAGCUGCAUUCACAUUAAAUAGGGCACCAUCUAAAUCCGUUGAGAUGACACCGUAUGAACUAUGGUUUGGCAAGAAACCUAAGCCAUCGUUUCUUAAAGUUUGAGGUUGCAAUGAUUAUGUGAAAAAGUUUCAACCUGAUAAGCUCUAACCCAAAUCGGAGAAGUGCGUCUUCAUAGGAUACCCAAAAGAAAAUGUUGGGUACACCUUCUAUCACAGAUCCGAAGGCAAUAUAUUCGUUGCUUUGAAUGGAUCCUUUCUAGAAAAAGAGUUUCUCUCGAAAGAAGUGAGUGGGAGGAAAGUAAAACUUGAUGAGGUAACUGUAACUGCUCCUUUAUUGGAAAGUAGUUCACCACAGAAAUAUGUUCCUGUGACUACUACACCAAUUAGUGAGGUAGCUAAUGAUGAUGAUCAUGUAACUUCAGAUCAAGUUGCUACCGAACCUCGUAGGUAAACCAGAGUGAGAUCCGCACCAGAGUGGUACGGUAAUCCUGUUCUGGAGGUCAUGUUACUUGACCAUGACGAGCCUGCGAACUAUGAGGAAGCGAUGAUGAGCCCAGAUUCCGCGAAAUGGUUUGAGGCCAUGAAAUCUGAGAUAUGAUCCAUGUAUGAGAACAAAGUAUGGACUUUGAUGGAUUUGCCCGUUGAUCGGCAAGCCAUAGAAAAUAAAUGAAUCUUCAAGAGGAAGAUGGACGCUGAUAGUAGUGUUACUAUCUACAAAGCUAGAAUUGUCGCAAAAGGUUUUCGACAAGUUCAAGGUGUUGACUACGAUGAGAGUUUCUCACUCGUAUCUAUGCUUAAGUCUGUCCGAAUCAUGUUAGCAAUUGCCGCAUUUUAUGAAAUCUGGCAAAUGGAUAAACAAAACUGCAUUCCUUAAUGGAUUUAUUAAAGAAGAGUUGUAUACAAUGCAACUAGAAGGUUUUGUCGAUCCUAAAGGUGUUAACUAAAUAUGCAAGAUCCAGCGAUCCAUCUAUGGACUGGUGCAAGCAUCUCGGAGUUGGAAUAUACACUUUGAUAAGUUGAUCAAAGCAUAUAGUUUUAUACAGACUUGCGGUGAAGCCUGUAUUUACAAGAAAGUGAGUGGGAGCACUACAGCAUUCCUGAUAAGUAUAUGUGAAUGGCAUAUUGUUGAUCGGAAAUAAUGUAGAAUUAUUCUGCAAAGCAUAAAGGAGUGUUUGAAAGGAUUUUUUUCAAAGAAAACCUCGGUGAAGUUGCUUACAUAUUGAGCAUCAAGAUCUAUAGAGAUAGAUCAAGACGCUUGAUAAGUUUUUCAAAUGAGUACAUACCUUGACAAGAUUUUGAAGUAGUUCAAAAUGGAAUAGUCAAAGAAAGAGUUCUUGCCUGUGUUACAAUGUGUGAAAUUGAGUAAGACUCAAAACCCGACCACGACAGAAGAUAGAAAGAGAAUGAAAGUCAUUCCCUAUGCCUCAGCCAUAGGUUUUAUAAAGUAUGCCAUGCUGUGUACCAGAUCUAUUGUAUACCCUACACUGAUGUUGGCAAGGGAGUACAAUAGUGAUCUAUGAGUAGAUCACUGGACAACGGUCAAAAUUAUCCUUAGUGGAAUAAGGAAAUAUUUCUCAAUUAUGGAGGUGACAAAAGGUUCGUCGUAAAAAGUUACGUCGAUGCAAGUUUUGACAUAGAUCUAGAUGACUCUAAGUCUCGAUCUAGAUACAUAUUGAAAGUGGGAGCAAUUAGCUAGAGUAGCUCCAUGCAGAGCAUUGUAGACAUAGAAUUCGCAAAAUACUUACGGAUCUGUAUGUGACAGACCCGUUGACUAAACUUCUCUCACAGGCAAAACAUGAUCACACCUUAGUACUCUUUGGGUGUUAAUCACAUAGCGAUGUGAACUAGAUUAUUGACUCUAGUAAACCCUUUGAGUGUUGGUCACAUAAUGAUGUGAACUAUUGGUGUUAAAUCACAUGGCAAUGUGAACUAGAUUAUUGACUCUAGUGCAAGUGGGAGACUGAAGGAAAUAUGCCCUAGAGGCAAUAAUAAAGUUAUUAUUUAUUUCCUUAUUACAUGAUAAAUGUUUAUUAUUCAUGCUAGAAUUGUAUUAACCGGAAACAUAAUACAUGUGUGAAUACAUAGACAAACAGAGUGUCACUAGUAUGCCUCUACUUGACUAGCUCGUUAAUCAAAGAUGGUUAUGUUUCCUAACCAUAGACAAAGAGUUGUUAUUUGAUUAACGGGAUCACAUCAUUAAGGAGAAUGAUGUGAUUGACUUGACCCAUUCCGUUAGCUUAGCACUCGAUCGUUUAGUAUGUUGCUAUUGCUUUCUUCAUGACUUAUACAUGUUCCUAUGACUAUGAGAUUAUGCAACUCUCGUUUGCCGGAGGAACACUUUGUGUGCUACCAAACGUCACAAUGUAACUGGGUGAUUAUAAAGGAGAUCUACAGGUGUAUCCAAAGGUAAAUGUUGGGUUGGCAUAUUUCGAGAUUAGGAUUUGUCACUCCGAUUGUCGGAGAGGUAUCUUUGGGCCCUCUCGGUAAUGCACAUCACAUAAGCCUUGCAAGCAUUGCAACUAAUGAGUUAGUUGCGAGAUGAUGUUUACGAAACGAGUAAAGAGACUUGCCGGUAACAAGAUUGAACUAGGUAUUGAGAUACCGACGAUCGAACCUCGGGCAAGUAACAUACUGAUGACAAAGGGAACAAUGUAUGUUGUUAUGCGGUCUGACCGAUAAAGAUCUUCAUAGAAUAUGUGGGAGCCAAUAUGAGCAUCCAGGUUCCGCUAUUGGUUAUUGACCGGAGACAUGUCUCGGUCAUGUCUACAUUGUUCUCGAACCCGUAGGGUCCGCACGCUUAAGGUUUUGAUGACAGUUAUAUUAUGAGUUUAUGAGUUUUGAUGUACCGAAGUUAGUUCGGAGUCCCGGAUGUGAUCACGGACAUAACGAGGAGUCUUGAAAUGGUCAAGACAUAAAGAUUGAUAUAUUGGACGGCUAUAUUCGGACACCGAAAGUGUUUCGGGUGAUUUCGGAGAAAACUGGAGUACCGGAGGGUUACCGGAACCCCCCCGGGAGAAGUAAUGGGACAUAUGGGCCUUAGUGGAGAGAGAGAAGGGCAGCCAGUGUGGGCGCGUGCCUCCUCCCCCUUGGUCCGAAUUGGACUAGGAGAGAGGGGGCGACGCCCCCCUUUCCUUCUCCCUCCCCACUUCCUUCCCCCUCCUAGUAGGAGUCCUACUCCUACUAGGAGGAGGACUCCUCCUUGGCGCGCCUAUAGGGCUGGCCGGCCUCCUCCCCUUGCUCCUUUAUAUACGGGGGCAGGGGCACCCCUAGACACACAAGUUGAUCCACACGAUCGUUUUCUUAGCCGUGUGCGGUGCCCCCUUCCACCAUAAUCCUCGAUAAUAUUGUAGCGGUGCUUAGGCGAAGCCCUGCGACGGUAGAACAUCAGGAUCGUCACCACGCCGUCGUGCUGACGGAACUCUUCCCCGACACUUUGCUGGAUCGGAGUCCGGGGAUCGUCAUCGAGUUGAACAUGUGCUAAAACUCGGAGGUGCCGUAGUUUCGGUGCUUGAUCGGUUGGGCCGUGAAGACGUACGACUACAUCAACCGCGUUGUGCUAACGCUUCCGCUGCGGUCUACAAGGGUACGUAGAUCACACUCUUCCCUCUCGUUGCUAUGCAUCACCAUGAUCUUGCGUCUGCGUAGGAAAUUUUUUGAAAUUACUACGUUCCCCAACAUUUUGGACUAUAUUGGGCUUUAUUUUCCACUUUUAUAUUAUUUUUGGGACUAACCUAUUAACCAGAGGCCCAGCCCAGAAUUGCUGCUUUUUGCCUAUUUCAGUGUUUCGAAGAAACGUAAUAUCAAACGAAGUCCAAACGGAAUAAAAUCUUCGGGAACGUGAUUUUCUCACCGAACGUGAUCCAGGAGACUUGGACCCUGCUCCAAGGAACAAAAGACACGGUCAUGAGGGUGGGGGGCGCCCCCCUAGAGCGUGCCCCCUGCCUCGUGGGCCCCUCGGUGCUCCACCGACGUACUACUUCCUCCUAUAUAUACACACGUACCCCCAAACGAUCAGAACAGGAGCCAAAAACCUAAUUCCACCGCCGCAACUUUCUGUAUCCACGAGAUCCCAUCUUGGGGCCUGUUCUGGAGCUCUGUCGAAAGAGGGUGUUGGGGAUCGUAGCAGAAAUUUAAAAUUUUCUACGCAUCACCAAGAUCAAUCUAUGGAGUAAUCUAGCAAUGAGGAAAGGAGAGUGCAUCUACACACCCUUGUAGAUCGCUAAGCGGAAGCGUUCAAGUGAACGGGGUUGAUGGAGUCGUACUCAUCGUGAUCCAAAUCACCGAUGAUCCUAGCGCCGAACGGACGGCACCUUCGUGUUCAACACACAUACGGAACGGAGACGUCUACCACGCCUUGAUCCAGAAAGGAGGAGGGAGAGGUUGAGGAAGAGAGUCCAACAGCAGCACGACGACGUGGUGGUGAUGGAGUGGCAGUUCUCCGGCAGGGCUUCGCUAAGCUCACGCGGAGGAGGAGAGGUAUUGGAGGGGAGGGGCUGCGCCAAGUUCAAGGGUGUGUCCGCCUUCCCACCCCUCCACUAUUUAUAGGUGGGGAGAGAGGGGGCCGUCCCCCCUAGAUCCCAUCUAGGGUUGGGGCGGCGGCCAAGGGGGGGGAGGAGUGCCUCCCAAGUCAAGUGGAGGCCCUCCCCCUUAGGGUUUCCCCUCUCCCAUGCGCAUGGGCCUUGGGGGGGCUGGUGCCCUUGGCCCAUUAAGGUUAGGGCACCCCCUUACAGACCAUGCUGCUGUAUUGGACGUGGUGGAACAUUUUCCGGACCUCCGGACCCCUCCGGAAUCCGCCGGAACCUUCUGGAAGCUUCCCGGUACAAUACCGGAAAGACCGAACUUUUCCCGGAACCCGAACAACAACUUUCCAUAUAUAAAUCUUUACCUCCGGACCAUUCCAGAACUCCUCGUGACGUCCAGGAUCUCAUCCGGGACUCCGAACAACAUUCGGUAAUCACAUACAAGUCUUCCUAAUAACCCUAGCGUCAUCGAACCUUAAGUGUGUAGACCCUACGGGUUCGGGAACCAUGCAGACAUGACCGAGACAACUCUCCGUCCAAUAACCAACAGUGGGAUCUGGAUACCCAUGUUGGCUCCCACAUGUUCCACGAUGAUCUCAUCGGAUGAACCACAAUGUCGAGGAUUCAAUCAAUCUCGUAUUCAAUUCCCUUUGUCCAGCGGUAUUGUACUUGCCCGAGAUUCAAUCGUCGGUAUCCCGAUACCUUGUUCAAUCUCGUUACCGGCAAGUCUCUUUACUCGUUCCGUAACACAUCAUCCUGUGAUCAACUCCUUGGUCACCUUGUGCACAUUAUGAUGAUGUCCUACCGAGUGGGCCCAGAGAUACCUCUCCGUUUUCAUGGAGUGACAAAUCCCAGUCUCGAUUCGUGCCAACCCAACAGACACUUUCGGAGAUACCUGUAGUGUAUCUUUAUAGCCACCCAGUUACGUUGUGACAUUUGGCACACCCAAAGCACUCCUAUGGUAUCCGGGAGUUGCAUAAUCUCAUGGUCUAAGGAAAUGAUACUUGACAUUAGAAAAGCUUUAGCAUACGAACUACACGAUCUUGUGCUAGGCUUAGGAUUGGGUCUUGUCCAUCACAUCAUUCUCCUAAUGAUGUGAUCCCGUUAUCAAUGACAUCCAAUAUCCAUGGUCAGGAAACCCUAACCAUCUAUUGAUCAACGAGCUAGUCAACUAGAGGCUUACUAGGGACAUGGUGUUGUCUAUGUAUCCACACAUGUAUCUGAGUUUCCUAUCAAUACAAUUCUAGCAUGGAUAAUAAACGAUUGUCAUGAACAAUGAAAUAUAAUAUAAUAAUAACCAAUUUAUUACUGCCUCUAGGGCAUAUUUCCAACAGUCUCCCAGUUGCACUAGAGUCAAUAAUCUAGUUCACAUCGCCAUGUGAUUAACACUCACCGGUCACAUCGCUAUGUGACCAACAUCCAAAGAGUUUACUAGAGUCACUAAUCUAGUUCACAUCACUAUGUGAUUAAUACUCAAUGAGUUCUGGGUUUGAUCAUGUUAUGCUUGUGAGAGAGGUUGUAGUCAACGGGUCUUGCCAUAUUCAGAUCCCUAUGCAUUUCACAAAACUUUAUAUCGUAGAUGCUGCUACCACGUUCCACUUGGAGCUAUUCCAAAUUAUUGCUCCAUUAUACGUAUCCGGUAUCUCUACUCAGAGCUAUCCGGAUAGGUGUUAAGCUUGCAUCGACGUAACUCUUUAUGUCGAACUCUUUAUCACCUCCAUAACCGAGAAACAUUUCCUUAUUCCUCUAAGGAUAAUUUUGACUACUAACUGGUGAUCCACUCCUAGAUCACCUUUGUACCCUCUUGCCAGACAUGUGGCAAGGCACACAUUAGGUGCGGUACUUCAGCAUGGCAUACCGUAUAGAGCCUAUGACAAGAGCAUAGGGGACGACCUUCGUCCUUCUUCUUUCUUCUGUCGUGGUCAAGCUUUGAGUCUUACUCAACUUCACACCUUACAACUCAGGUAAGAACCCCUUAUUUGACUGAUCUAUUUUGAACUUCUUCAAAAACAUGUCAAGGUGUGCGUUCUUUGAAAGCACCAUCAGGCGUCUUGAUCUAUCUCUAUAGAUCUUGAUGCCCAAUAUGUAAGCAGCUUUAUCCAGGUCUUCCUUUGAAAAACACUCUUCAAACAACCGUUUAUGCUUUCCAGAAUUUCUACAUUAUUUCGGAUCAACAAUAUGUCAUCCACAUAUACUUAUCAGAAAUGUUGUAGUGCUCCCACUCACUUUCUUGUAAAUACAAGUUUCUAACAAACAUUGUAUAAACCUAAAACCAUUGAUCACUCCAUUAAAACAUAUAUUCCGAUUCCGAGAUGCUUGCUCUAGUCCAUAGAAGGAUUGCUGGAGCCAGCAUACCUUUUAGCAUCCUUAGGAUCGGCAAAACCUUUUAUUGUAUCACAUACAACUUUUCUUAUGAAAACUGGUAAGAAAAUUUGUUUUGCCAUCCAUCUGUAAGAUUUCAUAAUCGAAAAAUACAGCUAAUGCUAACAUGAUUCCGACGGACUUAAGCAUCGCUACGGGUGAGAAAUUAUCAUCGUAGUCAACUCCUUGAACUUGUGAAAAGAUUCUUUCCCAUAAGUCGAGUUUCAUAGACGGUAACAUUACCGCCCACGUCCGUCUUCUUCUUAAAGAUCCAUUUAUCUCAAUGGCUUGCCGAUCAUCGGGCAAGUCCACCAAAGUCCAUACUUUGUUCUGAUAUAUGGAUCCUAUCUCAGAUUUCAUGGCUUCUAACCAUUUGUCGGAAUACGGGCCCACCAUCGCUUCUCCAUAGCUCGUAGGUUCAUUGUUGUCCAACAACAUGAUAUCUAAGACAGGAUUACCAUAACACUCAGGAGUAGUACAUAUCCUUGUCGACCUAUGAGGUUCGAUAGCAACUUGAUCCGAAGCUUUAUGAUCACUAUCAUUAACUUCCUAUUCAAUAGAUGUAGGCUCCACAGAAAACAUCUUUCUGUGUUGCAUCACUCUCUGGUUGAAAUAAAGGUUCGACAACCUCAUCAAGUUCUAUCUUCCUCCCACUCAAUUCUUUUGAGAGAAACUCCUUCUCGAGAAAGGAUCCGUUCUUAGCGACAAACAAUUUGCCCUCGGAUCUGAGAUAGAAGCUAUACCCAACUGUCACCUUUGGGUAUCCUAUGAAGAUGUGUUUGUCCGCUUUGGGUUCGAGCUUCUCCGGCUGAAGCCUUAAGCAUCGCAGCCCCAAACAUUAAGAAACGACAACUUUGGUUUCUUGCCAAACCAAUGUUCAUACGAUGUCGUCUCAACGGACUUAGAUGGUGUCCUAUCUAAAUUGAAUGCAGCUGUCUCUAACGCAUAACCUCAAAAUGAAAACGGUAGAUCGGUAAGAGACAUCAUAGGUCGCACCAUAUCUCAUAAGGUUCGACUACGACGUCCGGACACACCAUAACCCAGUGGUGUUCCAGGUGGCUUCAACUGUGAAACAAUUCCACAAUGUCUUAAGUGUUUGCCAAACUCAUAACUCAGAAAAUCCCCUUUUUAUCAGAUCGUGGGAACAUGAUCUUCUUGUUAUGAUGAUUCUUAACUUCACUAUGAAAUCGCUUGAACUUUUCCAACGUUUCACACUUGUGCUUCAUUAAGUAAAUAUACCUAUAUCUACCCAAAUCGUCAGUGAAGAUGAGAAAAUAGCGAUAUCCACUGCACGCUUCAAUUCUCAUUGGAUCACACGUAUCAGCAUGCAUGAUUUCCAACAAGUCACUUGCCCAUUUCAUUGUACCUGAAAAUGGGGUCUUAGUCAUCCUGCCCAUGAGGCAUGGCUCGCAUGUGUCAAGUGAUUCAAAAUCAAGUGACUCCAAACAUCCAUCGACUUGGAGUUUCGUCAUGCAUCGUACACCAAUAUGACCUAAGCGGCAGUGCCACAAGAAAGUGGUACUAUCAUUAUUAACUCUACAUCUUUUGGCGUGAACAUGUGUAUUACCACGCCCGAGAUUCAAUGAACCAUUCACAUAGGGUGCAUGACCAUGAAAGGUAUCAUUCAUGUAAACAAAAUAACCAUUAUUCUCUAACUUAAAUGAAUGACCGUAUUGCAAUGAACAUGAUCUAAUCAUAUUCAUGCUCAACAUAGACACCUGAUAACAUUUAUCUAGGUUCAAUACUAAUCCCGAAGGCAGAUGGAGCGUGCGAUGGUGAUCUCAUCAACUUUGGAAACACUUCCAACACACAUCGUCACCUCGCCCUUAGCCAGUCUCCAUUUAGUCCGUAGCUUUUUCUUCAAGUCACCAAUAAUAGUAACUGAACCGGUAUCCAAUACCCAGGUGCUACCAGGAGUACUAGUGAGGUACACAUUAAUAACACAUAUAUACUUUGUUGAAGUUGCCAGCCUUCUUAUCUACCAUGCAUUUGGGGUAAUUCCGCUACCAUUGACCGUUCCCCUUACAAUAGAAGCACUUAGUCUUGGGUUUAGGUUCAACCUUGGGUUCCUUCACUGGAGCGGCAACUGGUUUGCCAUCCAUGAAGUUUCCCUUCUAGCCCUUUCCCUUCUUGAAACCAGUGGUCUUGUUAAACCAUCAACACUUGAUGCUCCUUCUUGAUUUCUACCUUUUGCGGUCUUAAGCACCGCGAAUAGCUCUAGGAUCAACUCCAUCCCUUGCAUGUCAUAGUUCAUCAUGAAGAUCUAGUAGCUUAGUGAUAGUGGCUAGAGAACUCUAUCAAUCACUAUCUUAUCUGGAAGUUUAACUCCCACUUGAUUUUAGUGAUUGUAGCACCCAGACAUUCUGAGCAUAUGCUCACUAGCUGAGCUAUUCUCCUCCAUCUUGUUGGCAAAAGAACUUGUCAGAGGUCUCACACCUCUCAACAUGGGCAUGAGCCUGAAAUCUCAAUUUCAGCUCUUGGAACAUCUCAUAUGUUCUAUGGCGUUCAAAACAUCAUUGGAAUCCCUAUUCUAAGCCGUAAAGUAUGGUGCACUAAACUAUCAAGUAGUCAUCAGGAUGUGUCUGUCAGGUGUUCACAACAUCCACAGACGACGUUGUAGGGGUUUGCACAUCGAACGGUGCAUCAAAGACGCAAGCCUUCCGUGUAGCAGUGAGGACACUCCUCGGACUACGGACCCAGUCUGCAUCAUUGCUUACAAUAUAUUUUCAACUUAAUCUUUCUCUAGGAACGUAUUGAAACAGGGAGCUACAACGUGAGCUAUUUAUCUACAACAUAUUUGCAAAGACAAUUUAGACUAUGUUCAUGAUAAUUGAGUUCAUCUAAUCAAAUUAUUUAAUGAACUCCCACUCAGAUAGACAUCCCUCUAGUCAUCUAAGUGAAACAUGAUCCGAAUCGACUAGGCCGUGUCCGAUCAUCACGUGAGACGGACUAGUCAUCAACGGUGAACAUCUCAUGUUGAUCGUAUCUUCUAUACGACUCAUGUUCGACCUUUCGGUCUUCCGUGUUCUGAGGCCAUGUCUGUACAUGCUAGGCUCAUCAAGUCAACCUAAGUGUUUCGCAUGUGUCCCGAGGCCAUGUCUGUACAUGCUAGGCUCGUCAACACCCGUUGUAUUCGAACGUUAGAAUCUAUCACACCCGAUCAUCACGUGGUGCUUCGAAACAAUGAACCUUCGCAACGGUGCACAGUUAGGGGGAACACUUUUUCUUGAAAUUUUAGUGAGGGAUCAUCUUAUUUAAGCUACCGUCGUUCUAAGAAAAUAAGAUGUAAAACAUGAUAAACAUCACAUGCAAUCAAAUAGUGACAUGAUAUGGCCAAUAUCGUUUUUCUCCUUUUGAUCUCCAUCUUCGGGGCUCCAUGAUCAUCGUUAUCACCGGCAUGACACCAUGAUCUCCAUCAUCGUGUCUUCUUGAAGUUGUCUCGUCAUCUAUUACUUCUACUACUAUGGCUAACGCUUUAGCAAUAAAGUAAAGUAAUUACAUGACGUUUAUGUUGACACGCAGGUCAUAAAUAAAUUAAGACAACUCAUAUGGCUCCUGCCGGUUGUCAUACUCAUCGACAUGCAAGUCGUGAUUCCUAUUACAAGAACAUGAUCAAUCUCAUACAUCACAUAUACCAUUCAUCACAUCCUUUUGGCCAUAUCACAUCACACGGCACAUGCUGCAAAAACAAGUUAGACGUCCUCUAAUUGUUAUUGCAAGUUUUCACGUGGCUGCUAUAGGUUUCUAGCAACAACGUUUCUUACCUACGCGAAAACCACAACAUGAUAUGCCAAUUUCUAUUUACCCUUCAUAAGGACCCUUUUCAUCGUAUCCGAUCCAACUAAAGUGGGAGAGAUAGACACCCGCUAGCCACCUUAUGCAACCAGUGCAUGUCAGUCGGUGGAACCAGUCUCACGUAAGAGUACGUGUAAGGUCGGUCCGGGCUGCUUCAUCCCACAAUGCCGCCGAAUCAAGAUAAGACUAGUAACGGCAAGUAAAUUGACAAAAUCGACGCCCACAACUGCUUUGUGUUCUACUCGUGCAUAGAAACUACGCAUAGACCUAGCUCAUGAUGCCACUGUUGGGGAUCGUAGCAGAAAUUUAAAAUUUUCUACGCAUCACCAAGAUCAAUCUAUGGAGUAAUCUAGCAACGAGGGAAGGAGAGUGCAUCUACACACCCUUGUAGAUCGCUAAGCGGAAGCGUUCAAGUGAACGGGGUUGAUGGAGUCGUACUCGUCGUGAUCCAAAUCACCGAUGAUCCUAGCGCCGAACGGACGGCACCUCUGUGUUCAACACACAUACGGAACGGAGACGUCUCCCACGUCUUGAUCCAGCAAGGAGGAGGGAGAGGUUGAGGAAGAGAGUCCAACAGCAGCACGAUGACGUGGUGGUGAUGGAGUGGCAGUUCUCCGGCAGGGCUUCGCCAAGCUCACGCGGAGGAGGAGAGGUAUUGGAGGGGAGGGGCUGCGCCAUGUUCAAGGGUGUGGCCGCCCUCCCACCCCUCUACUAUUUAUAGGUGGGGAGAGAGGGGCCGCCCCCCCUAGAUCCCAUCUACGGUUGGGGCGGCGGCCAAGGGGGGGGGGAGGAGUGCCUCCCAAGUCAAGUGGAGGCCCUUCCCCUUAGGGUUUCCCCUCUCCCAUGCGCAUGGGCCUUGGGGUGGCUGGUGCCCUUGGCCCAUUAAGGUUAGGGCGCCCCCUUACAGCCCAUGCUGCUGUAUUGGACGUGGCGGAAUAUUUUUCGGACCUCCGGACCCCUCCGGAAUCCUCCGGAACCUUCUGGAAGCUUCCCGGUACAAUACCGGAAAAACCGAACUUUUCCCGGAACCCGAACAACAACUUUCCAUAUAUAAAUCUUUACCUCCGGACCAUUCCAAAACUCCUCGUGACGUCCGGGAUCUCAUCCGGGACUCUGAACAACAUUCGGUAAUCACAUACAAGUCUUCCUAAUAACCCUAGCAUCAUCGAACCUUAAGUGUGUAGACCCUACGGGUUCGGGAACCAUGCAGACAUGACCGAGACAACUCUCCGGCCAAUAACCAACAGCGGUAUCUGGAUACCCAUGUUGGCUCCCACAUGUUCCAUGAUGAUCUCAUCGGAUGAACCACGAUGUCGAGGAUUCAAUCAAUCCCGUAUUCAAUUCCCUUUGUCCAGCGGUAUUGUACUUGCCCGAGAUUCGAUCGUCGGUAUCCCCAUACCUUGUUCAAUCUCGUUACCGGCAAGUCUCUUUACUCGUUCCGUAACACAUCAUCCCGUGAUCAACUCCUUGGCCACAUUGUGCACAUUAUGAUGAUGUCCUACCGAGUGGGCCCAGAGAUACCUCUCCGUUUACACGGAGUGACAAAUCCCAGUCUCGAUUCGUGCCAACCCAACAGACACUUUUGGAGAUACCUGUAGUGUACCUUUAUAGCCACCCAGUUACGUUGUGACAUUUGGCACACCCAAAGCACUCCUACGGUAUCUGGGAGUUGCAUAAUCUCAUGGUCUAAGGAAAUGAUACUUGACAUUAGAAAAUCUUUAGCAUACGAACUACACGAUCUUGUGCUAGGCUUAGGAUUGGGUCUUGUCCAUCACAUCAUUCUCCUAAUGAUGUGAUCCCGUUAUCAAUGACAUCCAAUGUCCAUGGUCAGGAAACCGUAACCAUCUAUUGAUCAACGAGCUAGUCAACUAGAGGCUUACUAGGGACAUGGUGUUGUCUAUGUAUCCACACAUGUAUCUGAGUUUCCUAUCAAUACAAUUUUAGCAUGGAUAAUAAACGAUUGUCAUGAACAAUGAAAUAUAAUAUAAUAAUAACCAAUUUAUUAUUGCCUCUAGGGCAUAUUUCCAACAGUCUCCCACUUGCACUAGAGUCAAUAAUCUAGUUCACAUUGCCAUGUGAUUAACACUCACCGGUCACAUCGCUAUGUGACCAACAUCCAAAUAGUUUACUAGAGUCACUAAUCCAGUUCACAUCACUAUGUGAUUAAUACUCAAUGAGUUCUGGGUUUGAUCAUGUUAUGCUUGUGAGAGAGGUUGUAGUCAACGGGUCUUGCCAUAUUCAGAUCCCUAUGUAUUUCGCAAAACUUUAUAUCGUAGAUGCUGCUACCACGUUCCACUUGGAGCUAUUCCAAAUUAUUGCUCCAUUAUACGUAUCUGGUAUCUCUACUCAGAGCUAUCCGGAUAGGUGUUAAGCUUGCAUCGACGUAACUCUUUAUGUCGAACUCUUUAUCACCUCCAUAACCGAGAAACAUUUCCUUAUUCCUCUAAGGAUAAUUUUGACUGCUAUCUGGUGAUCCACUCCUAGAUCACCUUUGUACCCUCUUGCCAGACAUGUGGCAAGGCACACAUUAGGUGCGGUACUUCAGCAUGGCAUACCGUAUAGAGCCUAUGACAAGAGCAUAGGGGAUGACCUUUGUCCUUCUUCUUUCUUCUGCCGUGGUCAAGCUUUGAGUCUUACUCAACUUCACACCUUACAACUCAGGUAAGAACCCCUUCUUUGACUGAUCUAUUUUGAACUCCUUCAAAAACAUGUCAAGGUGUGCGUUCUUUGAAAGCACCAUCAGGCGUCUUGAUCUAUCUCUAUAGAUCUUGAUGCCCAAUAUGUAAGCAACUUUAUCCAGGUUUUCCUUUGAAAAACACUCUUCAAACAACCGUUUAUGCUUUCCAGAAAUUCUACAUUAUUUCGGAUCAACAAUAUGUCAUCCACAUAUACUUAUCAGAAAUGUUGUAGUGCUCCCACUCACUUUCUUGUAAAUACAAGUUUCUAACAAACAUUGUAUAAACCUAAACCUUUCAUCACUCCAUCAAAACAUAUAUUCCGAUUCCGAGAUGCUUGCUCUAGUCCAUAGAAGGAUUGCUGGAGCCAGCAUACCUUUUAGCAUCCUUAGGAUCGGCAAAACCUUUUAUUGUAUCACAUACAACUUUUCUUAUGAAAACUGGUAAGAAAACUUGUUUUGACAUCCAUCUGUAAGAUUUCAUAAUCGAAAAAUACAGCUAAUGCUAACAUGAUUCUGACGGACUUAAGCAUCGCUACGGGUGAGAAAUUAUCAUCGUAGUCAACUCCUUGAACUUGUGAAAAGAUUCUUUCCCAUAAGUCGAGUUUCAUAGACGGUAACAUUACCGCCCACGUUCGUCUUCUUCUUAAAGAUCCAUUUAUCUCAAUGGCUUGCCGAUCAUCGGGCAAGUCCACCAAAGUCCAUACUUUGUUCUGAUAUAUGGAUCCUAUCUUGGAUUUCAUGGCUUCUAACCAUUUGUCGGAAUACGGGCCCACCAUUGCUUCUCCAUAGCUCGUAGGUUCAUGGUUGUCCAACAACAUGAUAUCUAAGACAGGAUUACCGUACCACUCAGGAGUAGUACAUAUCCUUGUCGACCUACGAGGUUCGAUAGCAACUUGAUCGGAAGCUUUAUGAUCACUAUCAUUAACUUCCUAUUCAACAGAUGUAGGCUCCACAGAAAACAUCUUUCUGUGUUGCAUCACUCUCAGGUUGAAAUAAAGGUUCGACAACCUCAUCAAGUUCUAUCUUCCUCCCACUCAAUUCUUUCGAGAGAAACUCCUUCUCGAGAAAGGACCCGUUCUUAGCGACAAACAAUUUGCCCUCGGAUCUGAGAUAGAAGGUAUACCCAACUGUCACCUUUGGGUAUCCUAUGAAGAUGUGUUUGUCCGCUUUGGGUUUGAGCUAGUAAAAUCCCAGUAGUUGCGCCAUUAGUAGGCAAAACUGGUGCGCCAUUAGUAGGCCUUUUCCUAGUAGUGGGACUAACCUAUUAACCGGAGGCCCAGCCCAGAAUUGCUGUUUUUUUGCCUAUUUUAGGGUUUCGAAGAAAAGGAUAUCAAAGGGAGUCCAAACGGAAUGAAACCUUCAGGAACGUGAUUUUUGGAACGAAGAAGAUCCAGGAGACUUGGACCCUACGUCAAGCAACCAACAGGGAAGCCACGAGGUAGGGGGGGCGUGCCUCCCCCCCCCAAGGCGCGCCCUCCACCCUCGUGGGUCCCCUAUUUCUCAACCGACGUACUCCUUCCUCUUAUAUAUACCUACCGUCCCCCAAACAAUCAGAUACGGAGCCAAAACCCUAAUUCCACCGCCGUGACUUUCUGUAUCCACGAGAUCCCAUCUUGGGGCCUGUUCCGGAGCUCCGCCGGAGGGGCAUCUAUCACGGAGGGCUUCUAUAUCAACACCAUAGCCUCUCCAUGAAGUGUGAGUAGUUUACCUCAGACCUUCGGGUCCAUAGUUAUUAACUAGAUGGCUUCUUAUCUCUUUUUGGAUCUCAAUACAAAGUUCUCCCCCUCUCUUGUGGAGAUCUAUUCGAUGUAAUUUUCUUUUGCGGUGUGUUUGUUGAGACCGAUGAAUUGUGGGUUUAUGAUCAAGUUUAUCUAUAAACAAUAUUUGAAUCUUCUCUGAAUUCUUUUAUGUAUGAUUGGUUAUCUUUGCAAGUCUCUUCGAAUUAUCAGUUUGGUUUGGCCUACUAGAUUGAUCUUUCUUGCAAUGGGAGAAGUGCUUAGCUUUGGGUUCAAUCUUGCGGUGUCCUUUUCCAGUGACAGUAGGGGCAGCAAGGCAUGUAUUGUAUUGUUGCCAUCGAGGAUAACAAGAUGGUUUUUUUAUCAUAUUGCAUGAAUUUAUCCCUCUACAUCAUGUCAUCUUGCUUAAGGCGUUACCCUGUUCUUAUGAACUUAAUACUCUAGAUGCAUGCUGGAUAGUGGUCGAUGUGUGGAGUAAUAGUAGUAGAUGCAGGCAGGAGUUGGUCUACUUGUCUCGGACGUGAUGCCUAUAUACAUGAUCAUACCUAGAUAUUCUUAUAACUAUGCUCAAUUCUGUCAAUUGCUCAACAGUAAUUUGUUCAUCCACCGUAAAAUACUUAUGCUUUUGAGAGAAGCCACUAGUGAAACCUAUGCCCCCGGGUCUAUCUUGUAUCAUAUUAAUCUUCCAACGCUUAGUUAUUUUCAUUGCCUUUUAUUUUACUUUGCAUCUUUAUCAUAAAAAUACCAAAAAUAUUAUCUUAUCAUAUCUGUCAGAUCUCACUCUCGUAAGUGACCGUGUAGGGAUUGACAACCCUUUAUCGCGUUGGUUGCGAGAAUUUAUUUGUUUUGUGUAGGUGCGAGGGACUCGCGUCUAGCCUCCUACUGGAUUGAUACCUUGGUUCUCAAAAACUGAGGGAAAUACUUACGCUACUUUGCUGCACCACCCUUUCCUCUUCAAGGGAAAACCAGCGCAAGUGCUCAAGAGGUAGCAGUACUCUGUUCUUAUAUCUGAAGAAGGUGUGAAGUUGCAUUGUUCACAUACUGGUUCAUUCAGUUGUCGACUGUUCCUUGUUGCUCCUCUCCUCCUCGAGUUGCCGCUCUACGAUCAAGAUCAUCGUUGGCAGUGGUAUUCACCAUUUGCCCAUUGUCGUUAGUAUGCUAUUAGUUAUUGUGGCUUGCUUGCUUCAGUGAUUUUUUCAUUCCUCCUAUAAAACGGUUACACUAUAGGUAGUAUCAUUGAUCAUUCGGCUAAACCCCUAAAUACUCUAUAUAAAAUAUAUGCAUGAGAGGCCCCUCCGAUUUGGGAGAAUUUCCCUAUAAAAUCAAGUGAUUUGAGUUUUUGUUCUUGUUGGAUGUUGUGGAUACAUAGUCGAGUUUACCACUAGAGCGCCCCAUUGUAGCCAUGGCUCAUCGUUCGCAUGACCAACGCCCAUCCCUCACCGCCGACCUUGUACAGGAGCGUCGCUAGGAUGCCAUGAUCAACUUCACUGAAAGAAUUGGACGGAGCCGCCUCCUAGUGACCGUCGCUCACCACUACCCAAUUCUCGCCGUCCAAGCUUCCUUCUCCAUAUGCGUUGAUAGCUUCGUGGCGAGCCCCUCUUCUUUUCAUGUCUAUCCCCGAGCUGGCGCGUAUCCUCUAGCCUAUUGUAGCCUAGCACCACCAUAGCUGCUCUGUCUAGUUUCGUCACCGGGGCUUCUCAGGUGACCAUAUGGACCAAGGCAUGCUAGUGCGACCUUUGGGGACCUCUUGCCCGUCUCAGCCUUUGUAGUGCACCGUAGCCUCGCCCUGGUCAAGCCUGUGUUGCUGCCAUUGUCAGACCUUGUUGCCAACCUCGAUUCUUGUAGUCCUGCUAAACUCCGCCACCAUCAAUCAGCGCGGCUUUAGCCCAACAACCUGCAGAAGCAAACCACGUCGCAAACCGUGGCAUGUAACAAGUUCUUGAACGUCAACAUCGUGUCGACGUGAUUUGACUCUGCAUGGCGAGCGGAGUUCUACAGAGACUUNNNNNNNNNNNNNNNNNNNNNNNNNNNNNNNNNNNNNNNNNNNNNNNNNNNNNNNNNNNNNNNNNNNNNNNNNNNNNNNNNNNNNNNNNNNNNNNNNNNNNNNNNNNNNNNNNNNNNNNNNNNNNNNNNNNNNNNNNNNNNNNNNNNNNNNNNNNNNNNNNNNNNNNNNNNNNNNNNNNNNNNNNNNNNNNNNNNNNNNNNNNNNNNNNNNNNNNNNNNNNNNNNNNNNNNNNNNNNNNNNNNNNNNNNNNNNNNNNNNNNNNNNNNNNNNNNNNNNNNNNNNNNNNNNNNNNNNNNNNNNNNNNNNNNNNNNNNNNNNNNNNNNNNNNNNNNNNNNNNNNNNNNNNNNNNNNNNNNNNNNNNNNNACCGGUCAGAACCUCCUAAAAUCGGUCAUGUUAGCUUGAAAACCACGAGUGAUUUAUAUGUUUUUAUAGAUUUGAUUGAGGGUAAAAGGUAUAUCAAAACUGACUUCGGGGAGGGUAUGCUGAAUUUGGGGGUGAUUUUGAUAUUUCUUUCAAACAUAUAUUAAGGCAAAUUUAAGGAAAUAAAAAAGCUUAACGAGGCACAUCUAGCUCCCGGUUCAUUUUUGUGAGCAACUUCACUCAGUCAUUCUCCUCAUGUAGGCGUCAACCUAUAGAUAGGAUCCUACGAAACAUCAAACCGUAAACUGGAUUUAUUCUUUAGGAGUUGCAUCUUCUUUCUUUUUGGAUCAAUUUGUUUUAGCCCCUGCUCUGCUUUUUUUAGCAUGCACUAGGACAAUGCCCGUGCUUUGCAACGGGUGGCAGAAUAUUAUUUGUGUGUAACCGAUACUUUUGGGAUUAUUGCACUUUAUUAUUUCUGAUGUUCGUUGUGCCGCCAUGAUUGAACGUCAAUAGAUUAGAUGUUUUCCCGCAAAAAGAAGACAACUGCCAAUAUAAUCAUUUGGCUUUGAAAAGCACAUCUAGGGGAAACCAAACAAGCUCUUGGUGGAUCCAAGGUGCUUCAGUAGCUGGCACUUCUGAUCUCUCUUUAGAACUUGGGCGACUUGAACGCAUGGUUAUGCUCAUUACAGGAACCCUCGUUGCUCGCCCUAACCAUGCUUGCCGCUGCUAGAAAAAAAUUCCGAACACAUGGUAAGCAAUGAAACAAAAUGAGAAUGAUGAAUAAGUCAAACAUCAAAGAAGUGAAACAUCAAGCAAACAAAUAAUUGACUUCUACUCAUUUAUUUGUCCAAGCGAAACUAAUCUAAAUGUAAUACCCAGUAGUCUUUUUUGCUAUCUAUUUUUCAGAUCACUCUGAACAGAAAUCAAGUAAAAUUUCUGGGCAAUUUAGCACUCACUGUAGAUGAUAGUGGUAAACAUAACAGGAUAAAUAUGUUGUUUCUUGUGUCUUGUCAGAUAUAAAAGAGAUUUCAAAAUGAACCAUCCACAGCAGAAAGAAUUGCAGGUCACUGUUGCAUCACCAUCGCCAGUCAAUCAGCUGGUCCAGUAUAGUAGAGGAUAUCUUCAAGGGUUUUUUUAGGUAUAUCUAGAAGGUUUUCCAACUCAUAAGUUUUCAGCUUCUCGGCUAAAUGUAAUAUAUCAACCAUUACUCAGAACAGCAAGGUGCUUGCAACAAAUGCAGUAUCAAAUAAGGAAUAAAGCAUACAUCACACUUGAAUUGGAAGUAUAUACAUAAAGCAUCACAAACUGCAGCUAGCUUGGCAAAUAAAAUUUCAUUACUAUGAAAGAAAAUCUAAUGGAGCCUAUAUCCACGUGACAGCUUAAACCUUUAAAUGGCAGCGGCAGUACACCAUAGGCGACUGAACUGAUAUAGAAGUCAAAACAAUUGUUGAUUCAGGACCGGACGGACAGGUACAACAACUGUUCUGAACCUAGCUAGGCAUGCCAUCUACAGGGGAUUUGGAAGACAUGGGCAACUGUUCUGUGUUAGACUGUAUUUAUACGUAGCUUUUGUAUAUAUCUUGUAUAUUGUACUGUACACCCUUGUGUACUCCUUAUAUAUAUGAGAUAGCCACACCCGUUAUGGGUGUCGUGCAGUUUCCCAAAACCCUACGUCUUACAUGGUAUCAACCCUAACCGGUCCUAUGUCUUCCGCCGCCGCCGCCGCGACCGCAUCAACCUCCGCCGCCGCUGCCGUCGCGUCGGUCUCUGCCACGGCGCCUGCGUCGCCGUUCCUCUCAUCACGCCCUCUAGUCUCGGUUUACUCCGGCCAGGCCUCGAUGGUGGGUACAUCUUCUGAUCAGCAGCCCCCAUCGUCCCAGAUUGCGUCUUCAUCGGCUUGGGGCGCUACGCCCGCUGACCCGGCGGCUCCCUAGAUGGGAUCGGCGCCCUACGGGGCUCCUUCUUCGCCGUACGCAGGGCCAUACAGGGCUCCUCUUGGGUCUGCCCCGUACAGCGUCCCAGCCCCGUAUGGAGCGCCCUACUUGGCCGCUGGCGCUGCUCCAACGUCGCAGCCAUACGCGGUUGCACCUGCUUCUCUCUACGGCGCCGCAACCACCGGGUCAGGAAGGGCGCCGGUUGUGCCCUACGGUGACCAGCCACCGCCGUUGCCCUAUGGUGGAUAUUAUCCGCCUCCGACGGCCACACCCUACCCUGGCACUUCUGCGCCGGCUGCACUGUCCUCGACAACGCUGGGUCCUGGUGCAUCUGCUGGAUCGUCCCACAUGGGCUACUACACGUCGCCUCCCGUUGCUGAUCAUGCCGCGGCCGUUGCACCGUUCUACUUUGCGCAUCUCAUCCAGGUGAAGCUUACGAUAGAUAAUUAUCUGUCAUGGCGUGCACAGGUGCUGCCGCUUCUCCGCAGUCGCUACCUGGAGGGCUACGUCAACGAUUCUCUGCCAUGUCCUCCACCGCAUCAUCCGGCGUAUCAUGCGUGGGUUGCUCAGGAUCAGGCCAUCCUCUCUGCGAUCCAGUCAUCGCUCACCGAGGGGGUGUCCUCCUUGGUCCUCUUCGCUGCGACAUCCUAGGAGGCGUGGUCUGCCCUUCACACGAGCUUCGCAUCUCAGCAGCAGGCACGUUCUCACACUCUUCGUACGAAGCUGGGGGAGACAAGCUUCUUGACCUCAGCAUCACCGACUACUUCGGCAAGAUGAUGCGUCUCGCAGAUACCCUGGCCUCCAUUGGUCAGCCGCUUCGCAAAGAGGACUUCACCACCUUCGUCAUGAACGGACUGGACGAUGACUAUGAUAACCUUGCUGAAAACAUCAAUGGUCGUGACACUCCGCUUGAACCUCGUGAGCUCUACGCCCGCCUCCUCGCCACGGAACAGCACAUCAAGUCCCGCCGGUCCAACCCGAGUUUUAUUGCUGCUAAUGCUGCCACACGUGGUAAAGGGAAGCCCUUCAAGUCACCUGUCGGCGGCAAAUCAGUACCAUUGACUCCACAGGCUCAGCGGCCGCCCGUCACAGCCCCCUUGCCUAUGACCGGGGGUGGUCGUCCGUGUGCCUGUUGCCCAUCAUGUGGCGUUCAGCUCCCCUGUCAGCUGUGCAGUCUUCCAGGUCACAUCGCUUCCCGUUGUCAUCGCCGCUUCAAGCAGGACUUCCUCGACAUCGGCAACAAUGGCAAAGGCAACGAGAAGCAGGCUGCCUUGGCCACUCAUGAGCCUACUCGCCAAGCAGGCCACACUCCAUCCUAUCCCAUCGAUCCAACUUGGUACAUGGACACGGGCGCUAUGAAUCAUCUGACAGGCGAGAUGUGCAAACUCUCCAUGCAGGAACCGUACCGUGGACAUGAUCAGAUUCACACCGCGAAUGGAGCAGGUAUGCACAUAUCACAUGUUGGUCAGGCCUCCCUCUUAACUCGCACACAGAAAUCUCUUCAUCUUCGUAAUGUUCUUAGAGUUCCUUCCGCUACUCGUAGCUUAUUGUCUGUUCCUCAACUUACUCGUGAUAAUAAUGUUUUCACUGAGUUUCAUCCUUUUUAUUUCUUUAUCAAGGAUCGGUCCACGAGGGAUGUUCUGCUUAGAGGUCGCCUGCGUGAUGGACUCUAUGCACUUGAUCUACCAUCUGCUCCUCGCGCGUUCAGCGGUGUCUGUGUGUCUCCCACUCAUUGGCAUGCACGGCUUGGUCAUCCUGCCACUCCCAUAGUUCGUAGUGUUUUUCAUCGUCAUAGUCUUCCCGUUGUGUCCAAUAAAGAUGCUGCCACAGUCUGUGAUGCCUGUCAGCAAGGCAAGAGUCACCAGGUUUCGUUUUCGGAUUCGAGUCGUGUCGUUAAAACUCCACUUGAGCUUUUUUUCUGAUGUAUGGGGGCAUGCCCAAACUUCUGUGAGUGGCCAUAAUUAUUAUGUGAGUUUUAUUGAUGCUUAUAGUCGAUUUACUUGGCUUUACCUUAUCAAGCGUAAAUCUGAUGUGUUCGAUUUGUUUCUACAAUUUCAAGCUCACGUUGAGCGUCUUCUCAAGCAGAAGAUUAUCCAUGUCCAAACUGAUUGGGGGGUGAAUAUCACAACCUCAAUUCUUUCUUUAAUAAGCUUGGAAUUUCACAUCGUGUGUCUUGUCCUCAUACACAUCAGCAGAAUGGCACUGCUGAACGUAAGCAUCGUCACAUUGUUGAAACUGGCCUGACUUUACUUGCCCAUGCAUCAGUACCUUUUAGGUUUUGGAGUGAUGCGUUUUCCACUGCCUGUUUUCUUAUAAAUAGGCUUCCUACACGACUUCUUGGGAUGAAAACACCGCUUGAAUUGUUGCUUCAUGAGUCUCCCGAUUAUACCUUUCUCAAAGUUUUUGGUUGUGCUUGAUGGCCUCAUCUUCGUCCAUACAAUAAGCGCAAGCUUGAGUUUCGAUCAAAACUUUGUGUUUUUCUUGGGUAUAGCUCUCUUCAUAAAGGAUACAAGUGCCUCCAUAUUCCAUCCAAUUGUGUCUACAUCUCGCGUGAUGUCGUGUUUGAUGAGAAUGUAUUCCCGUUCUCGUCUUUAUCGUUGACUCCUGCACCUCCAGUCUCAUCCUCAUCCUCUACUUCUCCUCUGCCUGCUCAAUUUGUUGAUAUUGCAUACUCUCCUGCGUUGCUACCUAAUCAUGCUGCAGGUACAGGUCGUGGAGCUCGCCUUGAGUUAUUGGAUGAACAAGAGGAGUUGGAUGCACUUGACGUGAGGCAUGGUGCAAUGCAUGCGCCAUGCAUGCCUCCUGCUGGACCACCUACGGUGGUUGCCGCUGGACCGGGGUCCUCAGCCCCGGCCUCGCCCACACCAGCCUCCCCUGCGCUGGCCUCACCUGGGUCGGCCUUGGAUGGCAUCGCACCAGCCUCCCCUGGGCUGUCCUCGCCUGGGCCGUCCUCGGAUUCCGUCGAGCGGACGGUCUUGCCUGGGCCGGUCUCGCUUGACCUCGACCGCUCAGCGGUGUCGCCCGUCUUGUCUCCUGUUGCAUCGCCUGGCCCUGCCUCGCCCUUGCCAGCCGCUACUGCAUCGUCACCAGAUGCCUCGCCAGCCUCCUUGGUGCCGCUGAACCCCGCUGCUGUUGCUCGGCGGCCGCAUACACGCAGCAGUUCUGGCAUUUUCUGUCCCAAGCAGCGCAAAGAUGGGACGGUGGCCUAACUUGCAGCCUGCGUUGCUCAUCUUCAGAAAGAUCCUUCGGCUGAACCACGUCAUUUUCAGGAUGCUCUCGGGAUUCCUCAUUGGCGUCAGGCUAUGGAACAAGAGUUUCAGGCAUUAUUGACAAAUGGUACAUGGCAACUUGUUCCUCCGGUUUCUGGUGUUAAUGUCAUUGACUCCAAGUGGGUCUUCAAAGUUAAGAACCAUGCCGAUGGUUCUAUUGAACGCUAUAAGGCACGGUUAGUGGCGAAAGGGUUCAAGCAACGGUAUGGUCUUGACUAUGAGGAUACGUUCAGUCCGGUGGUCAAACCAAUGACUAUACGACUUCUGUUGUCCUUGGCUGUUACUCGAAGCUGGUUUCUCCGUCAGCUGGACGUUCAGAAUGCUUUUCUCCAUGGAGUUCUGGAUGAGGAGGUUUACAUGCGUCAGCCCCCAGGGUUUGUUGAUCCUGCUCGCCCUCAUCAUCUGUGUCGCCUGGUCAAGGCGCUCUAUAGGCUGAAGCAGGCUCCUCGUGCCUGGCAUGCCAGAUUGGGCUCUGUCCUUCGGUCACUUGGAUUUGUUCCUUCUACUGCUGAUACAUCACUAUUUCUUCUGCAUCGGCCUGAGGUGACAAUGUAUCUGCUGGUGUAUGCUGAUGAUAUUAUCCUCAUCAGUUCAUCCGAUGCUGCUGCUGAUCGUCUGAUCUCUUCUUUAAGUGGUGACUUUGCGGUGAAGGAUUUAGGAAUGUUGCAUUACUUCCUUGGCUUGGAAGUCUUGCGUUCUCAUGCUGGUUUGACACUCACACAGCAUAAGUACUCCAUGGAUUUGUUGCGAAGGGCAGGUAUGCUGCAGUGUAAACAUGCCAUGACUCCUAUGUCUGCUACUGAUCGUUUGUCUGCUUUUGAUGGAGAUCUUCUCACUUCCGUCGAUUCCACUGAGUAUCGCAGUAUUGUUGGUGGUCUGCAGUAUCUGACUAUCACUCGGCCUGACAUCUCCUAUGCAGUCAAUCGUGUUUGUCAGUUUCUUCAUGCUCCUCGGACUUCUCACUGGACAGCAGUGAAGCGUAUUCUUCGCUAUGUUCGCUUCACUGCCUCAUAUGGUUUGCUUCUUCAGCCAGCACCGUCUUUUACUCUUUCUGCUUUUUCGGAUGCAGACUGGGCUGGUAAUCCAGAUGACACGCGAUCCACGGGGGGCCAUGCUGUCUUCUUUGGUCCUAAUUUGAUCGCCUGGGCUGCUCGUAAACAAGCUACGGUGUCCAGGAGUAGCACUGAAGCUGAAUACAAAGUAGUUGCCAAUGCUACAGCUGAGAUCAUAUGGGUACAAUCCUUAUUGAGAGAAUUAGGAGUUUCUCAACCUCAGCCACUUGUCCUUUGGUGUGACAACAUUGGUGCUACAUAUCUGUCAUCUAAUCCAGUGUUUCAUGCUCGGACAAAACACAUUGAAGUUGACUAUCACUUUGUGCGGGAACGUGUUGCACAGAAGCUACUCUAUAUCAAGUUUAUCUCUUCUAAAGACCAACUUGCUGACAUCUUCACGAAGCCUCUACCACAACCUCAGUUUGUAGGCUGCAGGCGCAAUCUUAACAUACUUUGUACCUCAGGGCAUAGUUAAGAUUGAGGGAGGGUGUUAGACUGUAUUUAUACGUAGCUUUUGUAUAUAUCUUAUAUAUUGUACCGUACACCCUUGUGUACCCCUUAUAUAUAUGAGAUAGCCACACCCGUUAUGGGUGUCAUGCAGUUUUCCAAAACCCUACGUCUUACAUUCUGAACCUAGCUAGUCAUGCCAUCUGCAGGGGAUUAGGAAGACAUAAGAAAGAAGGAGAUAAUAUUGCGAGAGAAUAUAUUGAUUAAAGUGCUGACCUUCUUCGAUGAAGGCAGAGAAACCGAAGUCAAAUCUGGCGAGCAGGAAGUUCUUUGCGUGAGUUCCCAGUGUAUGGACCCAUGAAGUGGCAGAUGUUGACGACGCUUUCAGAAACCCAAUGAGACAAUCUGCACUACAGAACGACAGAACUCACGCUUGUUGUGCAUCACUUGGGUGACGGCCACGGCGUCGGGUUGGCCACGCCAGCGCCUCAGCAAAUUUCUUUCAAACAUAUAUUAAGGCAAAUUUCAGGAAAUAAAAAAGCUUAACGAGGCACAUCUAGCUCCCGGUUCAUAUUGUGAGCAACUUCACUCUGUCAUUCUCCUCAUGUAGGCGUCAACCUAUAGAUAGAAUCCUACGAAACAUCAAACCGUAAACUGGAUUUAUUCUUUAGGAGUUGCAUCUUCUUUCUUUUUGGAUCAAUUUGUUUUAGCCCCUGCUCUGCUUGUUUUAGCAUGCAUGUACCAUCGAUUUUAUCACUGUGUCUUUUUUUUGAAUAACCAUAUAUAUUUCAUUGGACAAAUGUGUUACAAAGAGUAUACAUGUGGUCGUCACAGGAGACAUACGUAGAUAUCAUGCAAUAUUGCAUCAAUGACUUCACAAGAAGUAAAACUAGAAUUUCACUUCGGCAAAAUCUUGUGCCACGCUAAAACAUCGCCCACGGUCGGCCUCCACCGCUGCUGAGGGGACAACUGCCUUCAUACCAAGAUCUAGAGGAGCACAUUUUCAUACAAGGAUGCUUUUCGAGCCAAUGAACCGGACCGCCGCAAGCGACGUGGCUGAGACUUUGUGGCACGUCAGCCGGGGUUCUUCCCCAUGUCCGCUAGAUCCCAGCAUCGUUAACUUCAUUCGAUGACAUCGAAGAAGAGGAAGACCACUGCAUUCUGCCAUCUAUGCAUCCCAUUGCAAGACACCAACCACAACCACAACAGUCGACACCAACGCUAUCCGAGAGAGUGUUGAGCGCCGACCAUCAAACACAAAUCUUACCGGAUCUAAAGAUCGGUAAGAAGACCGAGCCACCUGCUCCACAGCACCACCCAUUAGAGCGCUAUCGAGAUGAAAGAAGAGCAUAAGCAAAUUAUUUCGACGCAAUGCUGUCUCCACCAUUAAAGCAGUACCUCUGAGAACAAACUAUGCCUAUCCUACACCGCUGCCGGACAGAAACUAUCGGGGUCCCCACCCGCUCCCAUCGCUGGAACGGCAGACAAAACGGACGAGGACCCAGCGUCGCCGGCACCCGGUGGUGUCAAGGAAAGCAUAACUGUCGCCUCCUUUAUCGCCUGUGCGCAGCGGUUCCAGGAGAGAAACGGGGCCCUCGAUUUUAUCAUUGUUGACAAUGUAAGGAGUGGAGAUACCUAAGAGGAGAGAGCUAGUCUCAUCUAUUCUUGGAUUUGGAUAGCAGGAGCAUGUAUUGUAUCUAUAAGAGCAUCUCCUGCCGCGUUCUCAACAUGCUCUUCCAGACGAUUUUUUAGUACCGGCAGGCGAAAUUGGCCCAGUCGCGCUCCAGAAGCCCUUUUCGCCGGGUUGGGCUGAAAUUAGGGUCGGCGGACCCAGGCCGAACCCGGCACGCUGGGGGCGCCUGGGAGCACCGGAGCGAGCGAUUUUGGCGCGAACUAACUGCGGCCCGCCGCGUCAGCGACAGUCGCCUCGUCGUCCUCACACCGCCUCGGUUUCCCACAAGGAAUCAAUGCCAUGACUGUCAUCGGCCAGCCUUCCAUUGAAUUCUCACAGGCGAUGCGGCGACGUCCUCCUCCCGCCACGCGUACACAUGGCGCCCAGCUAUAAAAGCGAUGCCUAGCCUUCCCCUCUGGCCACACCCCGUCGUGCUCUGCCUCCCUCUCCCCGUGCGCACCUGCCGCCGACGAUCCUCCCCUCUCUUCCCAAGUCGAGCGUCAACGAUGGGCGAGCGAUUCCCCGGCGACGCGACGGCGGCCAACGGCUUCGGCCGCCGCUCGCUGCAUGCGUGGGAGGCGUACCUCCUUUUUGAGGCGAACAUCCCGGCGCCGCCCGACAUGCGCGCAGGGUCGGACGGGUGGAGGCUCAGCGCAGGUGGCGUCCCCAUUCCCCGGGUGCCCGACGUCAACACGUGCGCGCGGACUACUUCGCCGACGGGGUCGACCGCGUGCGGGCGUCGCUGACGGAGGAGCAGCGUGCCCUAUCGCAGUACGCUGCCGACAACCACGCGACGUGGGUGACGUACUUCCAACACCGGCAGGAGCGGCGACUGGCCUCCACCAACGGGGCGCCGGUGGUGGGGGGCGUCAAGAACAGCAAGGGGCGCCGCCUGUGGUGGGGCGCCCCCGGCCGCAUGCUGCACGAGGUUCUCCAGCACCUCAAGGGCGGCAACAUGCCACUGCUGACAUACCCUGCCGCGGUCGCCGUCCCAGUCCCCCGCCGGAGCACCGGGCAAUGGAUGCCCAUGAGGUUCGGCUCCUUCUCCUCCUCGUCCUCCCACUCUUCCCGCUUCUCUUCCCACUCCUCCGGCUCGUCGGCGGUGUUCAGCAUCAAGGCCGAGCCCGCAGCGGAGACGCCGCUCGGCUGGUGCACCCGCAGCGCCGGCAUCGUCAUCAACGAGGGCGGCGGGCGCGGCUCCUCCCCGCUAUGUCAAACCGAAGACAGAGCCGGGGCUCGCCGCCGUGAAGACGGAGCCAGGGCUCGCCGGCAGCGUCAAGGAGGAGCUCGACAAUGCGGCGGCCUUGAAGUGGGCGCGUAAAGACUGGGCGCGGACGGAGCUAGCGCGUCAGCGCCGCACCUACGAGUAGUUCACCGCUCGACGCCGUGGCCGCAACGAGGGAGGCAUCGUCGUCCUCGACGACAACGACGAUGACGCGCCGCCGCCACCGGUCCAGCAGGGCGGCCGCGUCAAGGGGAAGAAGGCCGACAAAGACGACUGCGAGGAUGGCGGUGAUGUCGGCGACUUCGCCCCGCUCAGCGCGUUCUUCGACCCGUAGUAGUAGUUGUUGUCGUUUUUUUAAACUUUGUUAUGUAAUGUCAUAUUCGCUGAACUUUAGCCGAAUAUUUGUCUAGUUUGCCAAACUUUAGUCGAAUUCCUUUUUUUCUAUAAAAAACCGCCUUCUGGGGACGACCCUAGGGCCGACGGCUGGAAACUCGAAAGCCCCCACGCUGAGUUUUAGCGCCGGCUCGCCCCCAGGCGGCGAUUUUACGCGCCCCCAGAGGGGGCAAUGGCUGGAGACGCUCUAAGCAAAUGAUACCAUGAACUAGUUGAUAUUGAUUCUUUCCAGUGCACGGAGUCAAACAAAAACGCUCAUAGAGGAACCUAUGAAUUAUAUUGUAAAUUUUCUUACAGACACCAGGAACUACUCCCUCCGUUCGGAAUUACUUGUCUCAGAAAUUGAUGUAUCUAGAACUAAAAUACGUCCGUUCGAAAUUACUUGUCUUGGAAAUUGAUGUAUCUAGAACUAAAAUACAUUCAUUUUUGUGACAAGUAAUUCCGAACGAAGGGAGUAGUCACUACUAGGGAAAAGCCUAGCAGCAGCGCGGGGGCCGGCGCUACAGCUAACAUAUAGCAGUAGCGCGGGCGCACCCGCGCUACUACUACGUCCGUUAGUAGUAGCGUGGGUAAAAACCCGCGCUACUACUAACCCGCGAUUUUUUUUUUCGAUUUUUUUGCCCGAAUUUUCAAAUUUCUGAAUUAUUUUAACCUCUAAUCUCUAAUCACCCUCAUCGCUGCUCAAUUUAAUCUCUAAUCACCUCUCAUCAUUCCAAAUCAUCUAACUUCCCGGACGGUCACCCAUCCUCUCACUACUCCAGCCUGAGCACGCUUAACUUCCGGGUUCUAUUCUCCCUCGAUUCCAAGUCUGCACUUGUUGUUUUCCUGACAAUAGUAAGAUGUCAAUCCUAUUAACCCUCGGGAGUUUAGCUUGAGCAUGAAGUCACACAUUUCGCUGUUUGAGUUUAAAACUAUUGUUCUAAACCACAAUAAUUAUUUAGUAACACUAAUAUUUCUUGAAUAAGGAGUUUGACCACAUUUUGACCAAAGUUUUACCACAGUUUGACUAGAUUUGACCAAAAUUCCAAAAAACUGAAAUACUUAUCUAGUAACACUUAUAUUCUUGAAUAAUUAUUUAGUAACACUAAUACGUCUUGAAUAAGUAGUUUGACCACAGUUUGACCAGAUUUGACCAAAAUUAAAAAAAACUGAAAUUUGAGCAUAACUUUUUUUCCUUUUAGAAUUUGAGGAUUCUAAAAAUUUGCAAACAGGCCGUAGGAGGUCACCAUAGUAUGCGGAUUUUCAUGCUGAACAUUUUGAUAUAUUAUACGUUUUUUCUGACAUCGUAUGCAAAAGUUAUAGCCGUUUUACAUUUUCCCUACACUUUUUGCAAAACAUGUCCAAAUUUAAGUUUUUAAAUUUUCCUAACUAGUAGAUGUAAGAACAUAACUACAUCUCGAAGGAUUUUAAUUUUUGAAACAUUUUGAUAUAUUAUACGUUUUUUUCUAACAUCGUAUGCAAAAGUUAUAGCCGUUUUACAUUUUUCCCUACACUUUUUGCAAAACAUGUCCAAAUUUAAGUUUUUAAAUUUUCCUAACUAGUAGAUGUAGUAACAGAACUACAUCUCGAAGGAUUUUAAUUUUUGAAGUUUUUAUCAUUUUCUUUUGCUUUUUACAAAACCGAAAAGGCGAUCCACAGGGGGGGGGGGUUAGAGUUUCAAAAUGGGACCUUUAGUAGUAGCGAGGGAUUUUACCCCUCGCUACUACUAUGGCAUGUCCCGGAGUAGUAGCGAGGGGUAAAAACUUAGUAGUAGCGAGGGUUUAUAACCCUCGCUACUACUAUGGCAUGGCCCAGGGGCACGGUAGAGACUGCUUAGUAGUAGCGAGGGGUAAAAACCAGCGCUACUACUAUCAACUUAGUAGUAGCGAGGGUUAAAAACCCGCGCUGCUACUAUGGCAUGUCCCGGGGGGCACGGUAGAGACCGCUUAGUAGUAGCGAGGGUUAUAAACCAGCGCUACUGCUAUCAACUUAGUAGUAGCGAGGUUUAAAAACCCGCGCUACUGCUACUUAGCAGUAGCGCCUGUCGUGGUUCUAAGUCUGACAGUAGAGUGGGGGGUAGGUAUGGAGAGGCAAGGUCCUAGCUAUGGAGAGGUUGUAAACACAAGAGAUGUACGAGUUCAGGCCCUUCUCGGAGGAAGUAAAAGCCCUACGUCUCGGAGCCCGGAGGCAGUCGAGUGGAUUAUGUGUAUACGAAUUACAGGAUCCCAACCCUUCUGCCUGUGGAGGGGGGUGGCUUAUAUAGAGUGCGCCAGGACCCCAGCCAGCCCACGUAAUGGAGGGUUUAAGGUGUAUUUAGUCCGGGGCGUUACUGGUAAUGUCCCACAUAAAGUUUCUUAACUAUCAUAAAGUCUACUUAAUUACAGGCCGUUGCAGUGCAGAGUGCCUUUUGACCUCCUGGUAGUCGAGUGAGUCUUCAUGGUCGAGUCCUUCAAGUCAGUCGAGUGAAUCCCUCGUUGGUCGACUGGAAGGUGACCUCUUCUAAGGGUGUCCUUGGGUAGGGUACUUAGAUCAGGUCUGUGACCCUACCCUAGGUACAUGACUCCAUCAUUAGCCCCCGAAUGGAUUGAGGCUUUGAGUGACGGAGGAGUUGAUGCUGUUUCCGAUUAACCUUUGCACACUGGUCGUGCGUUGUUCUGAACUAGAGAAUCUCUUCGUUGAUAGUGAGCAACUCGUCUUCAGUCGAUUCGAUCCAUUCUUUUUUUUCGUCGAGUGAUCUUUCGGGCUUCGUCGAUUUCCGAGCGACGGAUCGCAGGAAAUCCCGCGCCUGACAGACUGAUCUGCCAUUCGCGGAUUCCGCGGGAUGCGAAAUUUGGGGAAACGCGCGAAGCGGAGCGGACCGCGGCGUUCGGAUGGGACGGGACAUAGAUGCCUCGAUCCCCGCGCCGCUUUAUUCGCCACGUAUCCCGCCCGCGUAACAGUUCCAGGAUAUGAUUAGAUCUGCCGGGUCCACCUGUCAUCCACUCGGAAGGGAUCUUAUAAAUGCGCCCGGCGAGGGUUUUUUGAACAGUGCCCCAGCAUUCCCUCUCUCUGCCUCCUUCGUCUCUGCCCAACGCGCUCGCUCUCGCCUCCGCACUACUUCUCCUCACGCGCCCCGCCGGAAGCCAUGGUCAAGGAGAAGACGGCGGCGCUGGAGCGUGCGAAGAAGGCAUCGGCGACGGAGAAGGCGAAGGGGAGAUCCACCAGCCGCGGUGGGUCUUCGUCCAGAUCCCGCCUGCCGAAAGGCUGGGUCCAGGGAGAUUGGAUCCAGUCGACCAUCACGGAGAAGGAUCUCCUCGACAUGGCCAACGAGGGCCUGAUCCCCCAUGGAGCUGCGAGGCUUCCAGGGAAAGAGUGGCAGCCCCAGCCGGAAGAGGGUGAGUGCGUGCUUCUGGCUACCCAUGUCGACCGCGGAUUCUCUUUGCCGCCGAGCGUUUUCUUCCGUGGUUUCUUGAACUUUUUUGGAGCGCAACUCCACCACUUCACCCCAAAUUCUAUCGCCUAUCUUGCCGCGUUUGUGUCCAUGUGCGAGAGUUUUCUGGGCUGUCGACCGCACUGGGGCUUGUUCAAGCACAUAUUCACAUGUCGCUCUCAAACUGUGAAGAAGGCGAGUCCAGGCGACGAAAGAACCCGAGUUGUCCAAAUGUGUGGAGGUCUGGGGAUCCAGGUGAGAAACAAGAGCACCUUCCCAGCCAUGACAUUUCCCGAGUCAGUCAGAGGCUGGCAGUCGACCUGGUUCUACUGCCAGGAUGAGUCGACACCGGGGCAGUCGAGUGGGCUCCCUCCAUUUACCAUGGACCGAGUGAACAAGCCCUCCUCUCUGAAGCUGAUUCCGGAGGAGAAAGCUGAUGUGAAGAUGUUGAUGGAGCGCGUAGUUCAGUUGGUUCGGGAGGGAGUGACGGGCAUGGAUCUCCUGGAAGUUUUCCUUAGGCGCCGAAUCCAGCCUCUUCAGUUCCGGAGCCACUGCAUGUGGUUGUACUGCGGGACUGAGGAUGUGACUCGGGUCAAUCCAGAAGCAGUCGACGAUGCCACUCUGGAAAGGUGGAUGGCCGCUGUUACUGGGAACAAGGACAACCCUCGCGGGGCCAGAAGGAUUCCUCCACUCGACUGCCACAGUGAUCCAAACAAGGCAUGUCUGCCCCACUUCCCAUUGUAUUCUCAUCAUAUUUUAUUUCUGCUUUCUCUGCUGAUCGGUCGACUAAUCUUUGUCUUGUUGUCUCUCAGGCCCUCACUGAACUGUACUCGAUGCCCAACGGAGCGCAGGCUCCGACUGAGGAGGGAGAAGCGAGCGGGGGCGAGAGCCAGGAGGAGGAGUGGGACUCGGACGCCGCCGAGGCCGAUGAUGAUGACGAUGACGAUGAUGAUGAUGACGAUGAGGACGGGGAAGAGGAGGAGGAGGAGGAGGUCGCACCACCGUGCUCAGAAAGGCGGUCGAAACUUGUCCAUGACCCUGCGACUGAACGCGGCGAGGGGGUCGCGACUGUUACUCAGUCGACCAAGCGCCCCCGGACCACCUCUUCGGCGCCGACUGAAAAGGCGCCGAAGCAGCCCAGGGCGGCCCCGUCGAAGCCGACCAAGCACCUGCCGAAGAUGAAGGUGUCCAUCCCCACCAUAUCAGGGUAAUCAUAUUGCUUACGUCUUCUUGUUUUGUGUGAACUUUAUCUCUGGUUGGCGCUGGAGUUAGUCGACUGACUCUUUGGAGUUGCAGUGCUGCUACUUCUGAGACCUCGGCCCGGGCUGACGACCAUGAGAUGGAGGACGCAGCAACCUCAAAACCAGGCACUAUAUUCUUAACACUGUCUUUAGUCGACUGACUCAUGAUCUAAUCCUGAUUCUUUUCUGUAGCUCCAUCCAAUGUUGUAAUCACUCUCCCUGAUGAUGAUGAAGAUGAGGAACCGCUGAAGUACAGAAGGAGUAGGAAAGCGUCUGCCAGCAAGGUGACCCAGGAUGUGACGGUGCCUGAGGCUCUGGUUGCGGAGGAGGGGAACACCACUCGACACACCGUGUCCUUUGCAGAUCCACUGGCGAGUGCUCCGCAGCCUUCCCUCUUCACGACGCACCACGUCCCAGAGGACCAAGCUGGCGCAGCGAAGGAGGCAAUACGCCAGGCAGGGAUCAUGAUGGAGCAGUUGAAGACCAUCCGGGAUGCGAGCCAGGCAGCUUACGAUGCCAGUUCCGCCCUCCAACACAAUGUUCAGGUCAGUCGACCACCAUUUGUUCUGUUAGGAUAUGCUAUCAGAAACUUUUAUAGUAGUCACCCACUGGGUGUGUCGAGUUAAACUCCGUGUUAGCGGGGGCACGCUGAGUGCACCCGCUGGGUGUAGUCCCCAAGGCUAAGGUCGACUGCGGGCAGUCGGCCUUAGGCUUUAUAAUUUCAGUCUUUCCGUCAUUCGACUAUGUCGAAUGGAUUUCGCAAACCGGUCGACUGGUCGAUUAGUGGGGGCACGCUGAGUGCACCCACUGGGUGUAGUCUCCGAGGCUGUGGUCGACUGCUGGGAGUCGAUUACAGUCUUAAAGAAGAUAUCUCUCUUUUUUUUUUUGAGGUCGACUGGUCGACUCUGUCUUCAAAUAGGAUUAGUGGGGGCACGCUGAGUGCACCCACUGGGUGUAGUCCCCAAGGCUAAGGUCGACUGCGGGCAGUCGGCCUUAGGCUUUAUAAUUUCAGUCUUUCCGUCGGCCUUAGGCUUUAUAAUUUCAGUCUUUCCGUCAUUUGACUAAGGCGACUGGGUUUCACAAACCGGUCGACUGGUCGACUCUGUCUUCGACUGGUCGAUUAGUGGGGGCACGCUGAGUGCACCCACUGGGUGUAGUCCCCGAGACUACGGUCGAAUGCUCGUAUUCAGCUGUAGUCUUAGAAACGCGUGAUUUUUCCUUUUUCACUCGGAAGUGAAUUAUAUUUGACAUUUUAGUCGAUUGGUUCUUCGCAGAACUCCUGUGAUCUUGUGGCUCGCUACUCUGAGCUGGAAAACAAGCACAUUCAGCUCGAGCUGAAUUUGAAGCUGGUUCAGGAGAAUCUGACGAAGGCAAAGGAGGAGACCGAAGGUAUGUUUGGUGAGACCUUGACGACUGCUUUUUCCCUUUAUUUGUUUCAAAAUCUGAUCUUGCUGUAACUUGCAGGUAAGGUGAGGGAGGCCGAAUGGAAGAAGGACCUUGAACUAGCUGAGAAGGUCAAGCUUGUUGACGAGAAGUUAGCUUCAGUCGCCAAGCGUGAGCAAGAAAAUGCCAAUCUGAAAGCUGCUCUUGGGAAGAAAAAAGAUCUGGAGGCCUUCCUGAAUGGUCUUGCCAAGAAGCUGUUUCUUAUGCUUGAAGGUAAAUCUCUAUGCUCGGCGAUCAUUUCCAACCGUGGUUUUUCCAUUCGACCAUUGCCUUGACUCGGUGAUCGUCCUUGCAGAAUUUUGUCAAAACUUUGAAGAAGAAACUAGCCGGCUGGAACCAAACCUUGACCCCGUCAAUUCUCCGAUGGACGACGAAGCUGCCAUGAAUGUUUUCCGACUGGAGUCCCGUGUUGCAGCUGUCGUGGACUAUCUUGCAAGGCUGAAGGUCGCCACAUCUCGCAUCGACUCGACGCUCUGGCCCGGGGAGACUCUUCAGAAUGACCUCGCGUCGCUGAUGGCUCGCUUGAACACGAUCCCUGGUCGAGUGCAGGAGUGGAAAAAAUCCUCGGCUCGGUGCGGUGCAGAUGUUGCUCUGUGUCUGGCCCGAGUUCACUGCAAAGAUGCGCGAGAAGACAAGCUGGCGGCCCUCCGGGUGGCCAACACCAAGAAACACGACUUCAGGUCCUUUAUGGAAACUUUCCUUGCGGCUGCCACUCGGAUCGCAGAUGGGAUUGAUCUUGAUGAGUUUGUUGCACCUUCCAGCCCUCCACAGGAGGGGUAAAAAACUUCUUCUAAGCUCGACGCUUUAAAUUUGCCUCGGUAUGCCGAGUGGAAUUGUAACCGAUAAACCUUAACGGGCUUAGCGCCUGAGCACUUCCGGUUCCUUUAGGUAUCGAUCCAAACUUGAAUUUGUCGUUUGAAUAUGAUUGCUCUUGGCUCGAAAUGUCUUUUGCAGGUUCAAAGCAGGGCACUUACUGCAAUCGACUUAUUCCUUAAUCCACUUAGGCGAGCACUGGGCUGCAGCUAAGCCCCCGAGUGAGAGGUUUGCCCUUCACUCGGUAGGAUUUCGAUAACUUAGGCGAGUACUUGGACUGCAGCUAAGCCUCCUAGUGGAAGUCUGGCUUAUCACUCGGUAGGAUUUUCAUAACUUAGGCGAGUACUUGGACUGCAGCUAAGCCUCCGAGUGGAAGUCUGGCUUAUCACUCGGUAGGAUUUUCAUAACUUAGGCGAGUACUUGGACUGCAGCUAAGCCCCCGAGUGAGAGGUUUGCCCUUCACUCGGUAGGAUUUCGGUAACUUAGGCGAGUACUUGGACUGCAGCUAAGCCUCCGAGUGGAAGUCUGGCUUAUCACUCGGUAGGAUUUUCAUAACUUAGGCGAGUACUUGNNNNNNNNNNNNNNNNNNNNNNNNNNNNNNNNNNNNNNNNNNNNNNNNNNNNNNNNNNNNNNNNNNNNNNNNNNNNNNNNNNNNNNNNNNNNNNNNNNNNNNNNNNNNNNNNNNNNNNNNNNNNNNNNNNNNNNNNNNNNNNNNNNNNNNNNNNNNNNNNNNNNNNNNNNNNNNNNNNNNNNNNNNNNNNNNNNNNNNNNNNNNNNNNNNNNNNNNNNNNNNNNNNNNNNNNNNNNNNNNNNNNNNNNNNNNNNNNNNNNNNNNNNNNNNNNNNNNNNNNNNNNNNNNNNNNNNNNNNNNNNNNNNNNNNNNNNNNNNNNNNNNNNNNNNNNNNNNNNNNNNNNNNNNNNNNNNNNNNNNNNNNNNNNNNNNNNNNNNNNNNNNNNNNNNNNNNNNNNNNNNNNNNNNNNNNNNNNNNNNNNNNNNNNNNNNNNNNNNNNNNNNNNNNNNNNNNNNNNNNNNNNNNNNNNNNNNNNNNNNNNNNNNNNNNNNNNNNNNNNNNNNNNNNNNNNNNNNNNNNNNNNNNNNNNNNNNNNNNNNNNNNNNNNNNNNNNNNAGUACUUGGACUGCAGCUAAGCCCCCGAGUGGAAGUCUGGCUUAUCACUCGGUAGGAUUUUCAUAACUUAGGCGAGUACUUGGACUGCAGCUAAGCCCCCGAGUGAGAGGUUUGCUCUUCACUCGGUAGGAUUUUUGAUAACUUAGGCGAGCACUGGGCUGCAGCUAAGCCUCCGAGUGGGAGUCUGGCUCACCACUCGGUAGGAUUUUUGAUAACUUAGGCGAGCACUGGGCUGCAGCUAAGCCCCCGAGUGAGAGGUUUGCUCUUCACUCGGUAGGAUUUUCGAUAACUUAGGCGAAACGGAUUCGCAGCUAAGCCUCCGAGUGGGAGUCUGGCUCACCACUCGAUAGGAUUUUUUACAAACUUAGGCGAAACGGAUUCGCGGCUAAGUCACCCACUGGGGGGAAAUUUCAUUGGACAAAGUAAAAAGUGACAAAAAUUAUGGAGGAACUAUGACACUAUUACUUUGAGGUCCAUGAACUACAGAAGUACUUUAUUGCAACUCAUCCGAGUGAUAAAACUUAAGUGUAAAAUGGGCGGAGUAGUUCCGCGUUCCAAGCUCGGGGCUCGUCGAUAUUAUGCUCGACGUUGUAGAGACGGUACGCCCCGUUGUGGAGAACUUUGGUGACGAUGAAGGGUCCUUCCCAAGAAGGAGCAAGCUUGUGUUGUUUCUUCUGAUCCACUCGGGGAACUAAAUCUCCUUCUUGGAAGGCUCGACCUUUCACAUUUCUGGCGUGGAAACGACGCAAAUCUUGUUGGUAGAUGGUCGACCGGAUUAGAGCCAUCUCCCUUUCUUCCUCUAAAAGGUCGACUGCGUCUUGCCGCGCUUGUUCAGCUUCUGCUUCGUUGUAGAUUUCAACUCGAGGAGCAUUGUGGAGAAGAUCACUCGGCAAGACUGCUUCAGCUCCGUAGACCAAGAAGAAUGGAGUUCUUCCAGUCGACCGAUUAGGUGUGGUCCUCAGUCCCCAAAGCACCGAGGGAAGUUCGUCGACCCAAGCUCCAGCUGCAUGCCUGAGAUCACGCAUCAGUCGGGGUUUCAGUCCCUUGAGAAUCAGGCCAUUGGCUCGCUCUGCUUGUCCAUUCGACUGCGGAUGAGCGACUGAAGCGUAGUCGACUCGUGUGCCUUGAGAGUUACAGAAAUCUCUGAAUUCCUCCGAGUCAAAGUUUGACCCAUUAUCCGUAAUGAUGCUGUGCGGGACUCCAUAUCUGAAUAUUAGUUCUCUGAUGAAGCUAACAGCAGCACCAACGUCAAGGUUCUUGAUUGGUUUAGCCUCGAUCCACUUGGUGAACUUGUCGACUGCCACCAGUACAUGCGUGAAGCCACUUCGCCCUGUUCUCAAAGGACCGACCAUGUCCAACCCCCAUACUGCGAAAGGCCAGACGAGUGGAAUGGUCUUCAGGGCUGAUGCAGGCUUGUGCGACAUAUUCGAGUAGAACUGACAUCCCUCGCACUUAUCCACUAUCUCCUUUGCCAUCUCAUUCGCCUUUGGCCAGUAAAAUCCGGCUCGGUAUGCUUUGGCCACGAUGGUCCGAGAGGACGCAUGAUGGCCAUAGGUCCCCGAGUGGAUAUCAUUGAGGAUGAGUCGACCUUCUUCUGGUGUUAUGCACUUCUGACCAACUCCAGUCGCGCUUUCUCUGUAUAAUUGUCCUUUGAUUACGGUAAAGGCCUUAGAUCGACGGACGAUCUGUCGAGCCUCUUCCUCAUCCUCCGGAAGCUCUUUUCUCAGGAUAUAUGCGAUAUAUGGAACUGUCCAGUCGGGAAUGACCACCAAGACCUCCAUGAUCAAGUCGACCACCGCUGGGACUUCAACCUCAGUCGGAUCUGUGGCACUCUUGGGCUGUGGAGCUUCUUCGGUGAAAGGAUCUUCUUUGACUGACGGAGUGUGUAUAUGCUCCAAGAACACACCACUCGGAAUGGCUUCUCUCUUGGAACCUAUCUUUGCUAGAUCAUCAGCUGCUUGAUUUUUCAGUCGGGGUAUAUGAUGGAGCUCCAACCCCUCGAACUUCUUUUCCAGCUUCCUCACUGCACUGCAGUAUCCAGUCAUGGCUGGGCUUCUCACGUCCCACUCCUUCAUCACUUGGUUGACCACUAAAUCCGAGUCGCCAUAAACCAUCAGGCGACGGACGCCGAGUGAAAUGGCCAUGCGCAACCCAUAUAAGAGGGCCUCAUAUUCUGCCUCAUUGUUGGAGGAAUCAAAGUGAAUCUGGAGCACAUAUCUGAGCUUAUCUCCUCUGGGGGAAACCAGGACAACCCCAACACCGGAACCAUUCAACAUCUUAGAGCCAUCAAAGAACAUGGUCCAAUGCUCCGAGUGAACUUCAGUCGGCUGCUGCUGUUCAAUCCACUCGGCGAGGAAAUCUGCUAUUGCCUGGGACUUAAUGGCUUUCUUUGCUUCAAACUUGAUAUCAAGGGGAAGAAGUUCAAUCGCCCAUUUAGCCACUCGACCAGUUGCAUCUCUGUUGUGCAAAAUCUCUGAUAGUGGAGCGUCGCUGACGACUGUGAUGGAAUGAUCAGAGAAAUAAUGAGCAACCUUCUUUGUGGUCAUGUAUAUUCCAUACACAAGCUUCUGAUAAUGAGGAUAUCUCUGCUUGGAUGGAGUCAAGACUUCAGACAAAUAAUACACUGGGCGCUGAACUUUGAGAGCUUUUCCUUCUUCUUCCUGCUCGACCGUAAGCACAGUACUGACGACUUGUCCUGUGGCUGCGAUAUAGAGCAGCAGAGGCUCUUUGCUGAUUGGAGCAGCAAGCACCGGCUGGGUGGAGAGCAGAGCUUUUAGCUCGGCAAAUGCUGCAUCAGCUUCUGGAGUCCACUCGAACUUGUCUGCCUUCUUCAUCAGUCGGUAAAGAGGCAAUGCCUUUUCACCGAGUCGUGAGAUGAAUCGACUUAAUGCGGCCAAGCAUCCAGUAAGCUUCUGGACAUCGUGCACUCGCACAGGGCGUUUCAUUCGGAGAAUAGUGACAAUCUUCUCUGGAUUAGCGUCGAUUCCUCGCUCGGAAACGAGAAAACCGAGUAACUUGCCACCAGGAACUCCAAAUGUGCACUUUGAUGGAUUGAGCUUGAUAUCAUACCUUCUGAGGUUGGCAAAUGUUUCGGCGAGGUCAGCGAGCAGGUCGGAACCUUUUCGUGACUUGACGACGAUAUCAUCCAUAUACGCUUCCACAUUCCGACUGAUUUGAGUGAGAAGACACUUCUGAAUCAUUCGCAUAAAUGUGGCUCCGGCAUUCUUGAGGCCGAAUGGCAUGGUGAUAUAGCAGAAGCACCCGAAUGGAGUGAUGAAAGCUGUUUUUACCUCGUCGGGUCCGUACAGACGGAUCUGGUGGUACCCGGAGUAGGCGUCUAGAAAAGACAGUCUCUCGCAUCCCGCGGUCGAGUCAACAAUUUGAUCUAUGCNNNNNNNNNNNNNNNNNNNNNNNNNNNNNNNNNNNNNNNNNNNNNNNNNNNNNNNNNNNNNNNNNNNNNNNNNNNNNNNNNNNNNNNNNNNNNNNNNNNNNNNNNNNNNNNNNNNNNNNNNNNNNNNNNNNNNNNNNNNNNNNNNNNNNNNNNNNNNNNNNNNNNNNNNNNNNNNNNNNNNNNNNNNNNNNNNNNNNNNNNNNNNNNNNNNNNNNNNNNNNNNNNNNNNNNNNNNNNNNNNNNNNNNNNNNNNNNNNNNNNNNNNNNNNNNNNNNNNNNNNNNNNNNNNNNNNNNNNNNNNNNNNNNNNNNNNNNNNNNNNNNNNNNNNNNNNNNNNNNNNNNNNNNNNNNNNNNNNNNNNNNNNNNNNNNNNNNNNNNNNNNNNNNNNNNNNNNNNNNNNNNNNNNNNNNNNNNNNNNNNNNNNNNNNNNNGGAGUGGUAUAUCUCUCGGAUAAAUCCUGCCGCCAACAGUCGAGCCACUUCCUCACCAAUGGCUUUUCUCUUCUGGACGGCGGACCGCCGAAGAUGCUCUUUGACUGGUUUUGCAGAUGAGUCGACUCUUAGGCGAUGCUCAGCCAGUCCCCUGGGAACACCUGGCAUGUCAGCGGGCUUCCAUGCAAAAAUGUCCCAGUUCUCACGGAGGAACUGGAUGAGCGCUUCUUCCUAUUUCGGGUCGAGUGUUGUGGAGAUGUGGGUCGGAGCUGCAUCGGGGUCGGUCGGGUGAAUGUAAACAGGCUUCGUCUCACCGGACGACUGGAAUGCAGACUCUGUGGCUGGUUUCUUGGAUCGCAGCAAGUCACUCGGAUCUGCGUUUUGCUUGUAUUCUUCAAACUCGACCGCUGUCACCUGGGAAUCAGCAAUCUUUGAGCCUUUCUGAAAGCACUCUUCUGCCUUUUUCCGAUCACCGGUGAUAGUGAUAACUCCUUUGGGGCCGGGCAUCUUCAAUUUGAGGUACACGUAACAUGGUCGAGCCAUGGACCGUGCAUAAGAUGGUCUCCCCAAAAUGGCAUGAUAUGCACCCUGAAAAUCCACGACCUCAAACGUCAACUUCUCUUUGCGAAAAUGUUUCGAAUCACCAAACACCAUGUCUAGAGCUAUUUGGCCGAGUGACUCGGCUUUCUUCCCUGGUAUAACUCCAUGAAAUCUCAUGUUACUGGUGCUCAGUCGGGACAUCGGAAUGCCCAUUCCUUUCAGCGUGUCUGCAUACAACAAAUUCAGCCCACUACCACCGUCCAUCAGCACUUUUGUCAGUCGAGUGCCUUCGACAACCGGAUCGACCACCAAAGCUUGCCUCCCAGGGGUGGCAAUAUGAGUCGGGUGAUCAGAUUGGUCGAAUGUGAUGGGUGUUUGGGACCAUCUCAGAUAAUUUGCUUUUGCUGGGGCGACCAUGUUCACCUCUCGGUUAAUGACUUUCAAUCGACUCUUGCUUUCCACAUCUGCAAAGAUCAUCAGAGUGGAGUUGAUGUGUGGAUAUCCUUCCUCACUGUCCUCCUUGUCUGCGGGCUUGUCCGAAUCCUUCUCCUUGUCCUUAGACUGUUUUCCCUAAAACUGCUGGAUCAGGAGUCGACAUUGGCGAGUGGUAUGCUUCGGGUAGAUGAUAUUCCCCUCUUCGUCUUUCUUCGUGUGGAUGUGACACGGCAUAUCCAUCACAUCGUUCCCUUCCUUAUCCUUUACCUUCUUAGGGUUCCAGGAUCCUUUUGGUUUCCCUUUAAACUUUCUCUGAGUCACGGCCAGAGCCUCUCCAGGAGCUGCCGGUUCAGCCUUCCGCUUCUGUUUCCGACUGGUGUUUCCCUUUUCCGGCUGACUCGGCUUGUGCUUGCCGCUUCGGAGUCGGUCUUCUUCUUCGCCGUUGGCGUACUUGGUAGCAAUCUCCAUCAUCCGACUCAAGGUCAUGUCACCGGUUCGACCAAAUUUCAAACUCAAUUCUCUAUUCUUGACACCAUCCUUAAAGGCGCAGACUGCCUGAUGAUCAGACACAUUCUCCACAGUAUGGUGCAAAGUGAUCCAUCUCUGAAUAUACUCCCUGAGAGUCUCAUUGUUCUUCUGCACGCAGACUUGCAGCUCCGUCAAUCCAGCCGGUCGCUUGCAAGUUCCUUCAAACGUUCUGAUGAACACUCGGGACAGAUCUUCCCAAGUGUAAAUGCUGUUAGGAGGUAAUUGAGUCAACCAUGCCUUGGCAGAACCUUCCAGCAUGAGGGGCAAAUGCUUCAUGGCCACCUCGUCAUUCCCACCACCAAUCUGAACCGCCACUCGGUAGUCUUCAAGCCAAGUUUCAGGCUUAGACUCACCAGUGAACUUGCUGACUCCCGUUGCCAACCUGAAAUUGGGAGGGAUGACUGCGGCUCUGAUAGCUCUGCUGAAACAUUCAGGACCAGAAACAUGCACUCGACUGCUUGUGGGCGCAUCUCUAUCGAGUCCACCUCGAUGGGCUCUGUUCCGGUCGACUAAGCCUUGCACGAUAAUGGAUCGCGCAUCAAAGCCUGGUUCUUUGGGGUCGACUGGAACUCUUCGCCCCGCACUGAGCUGUCGUCUGUCAUCUUGCUGCCGAGGAGCGUAAGACCCACCCCUCGGAGGGGAAUUGGACACUCGACGCCUAUCAUCCCGGUCGAGUCGAUCACCAUAUUGGUCUCGCCGAUUCUCGGGCCCUUCACGCCGCGGAGGCGAUCUGGGGCUGUGAGCCGACUGAACCGUAUUCGCAGCGACGGAUCGACUGUGAAUUCUGUUGCGCGACUGCGACACGGCCGAAUUCUGAUCUCCUGCUGCCCGGAGCAAAUCCCUGAUCUGCAUCAAGCCUCUGCCAGCUUCCGACUGAGAGGGCUGGAUGGACUCUGCUAUACGGGUCGCAGCUGCUAAAUUCUGAAUUGGGGUUCGAUAUACCUGAGUCGGUGGGAAGAGUUGACGUCGACUGUUGUCGGGAACUCGUUGCCGCGCGCGCUCGUCGAGUGCUCGCUGAAGAUUCUCCAGUCGAGUGCGUUCGGCCAAAUUGGCCAAACGUGCCUCCUCCAAGGCGCGAGCCUUGGGGGUUUCUCCUGCGAUGGGAGUACGCAGGGCAUCCACGUUCCUGCGGCGAAGUUCCUCUCUUUGCAGAGAGUCGAGUUGCUCGGGCUGGUACUCUUCGUGGUCUCGUGCGGGGUCGCCUCCGUCGCCUGCUCCACCAUCACGGGCGAAGCCAGGGGGACUGCGGGGCCCGUCGACCAUCAGGAUUUCCGCCGCUGGAUCACUGCUAUCGCACUCGGAUGCAGUCUCUACGGAGCCAGUCGACAGAUCAAACAGGCCGUAGAGAGAUUCGUCGGGCUCGAUUGCCGCAACUUGGGUGGUGGCCGUCUGGCGAGCCACCGCGUGCCUCACCCACCGCUGAAGCCUCGACCGGCCCGAGCGCUUGCGCUGGCGGGAGAUCGGGAGGGUGGUCGAUGGGGGAGUCGACCGAUACGGAGUCGACGGUUGCCGCAGCAGAACGCCGCGGACACAUGCGCGAAAAUGCGUCGCACCGCGGACGGGGAGCGCAUCGACGUCGAGUGGAGCCUCCUGGAGCCAGGCGGAGUCGUCGGCGACGAAGGUGAGAGCACCGAGACGGAUCUCUCGACCCUCAACCAAAACUCCAGCAGUCAUCAUGAUAAAAGUACUCGGAAGAACCGCAACUUCUCCACAAAAUCGCUAAAACACCGGCCCCACGGUGGGCGCCAACUGUCGUGGUUCUAAGUCUGACAGUAGAGUGGGGGGUAGGUAUGGAGAGGCAAGGUCCUAGCUAUGGAGAGGUUGUAAACACAAGAGAUGUACGAGUUCAGGCCCUUCUCGGAGGAAGUAAAAGCCCUACGUCUCGGAGCCCGGAGGCGGUCGAGUGGAUUAUGUGUAUACGAAUUACAGGAUCCCAACCCUUCUGCCUGUGGAGGGGGGUGGCUUAUAUAGAGUGCGCCAGGACCCCAGCCAGCCCACGUAAUGGAGGGUUUAAGGUGUAUUUAGUCCGGGGCGUUACUGGUAACGUCCCACAUAAAGUGUCUUAACUAUCAUAAAGUCUACUUAAUUACAGGCCGUUGCAGUGCAGAGUGCCUUUUGACCUCCUGGUAGUCGAGUGAGUCUUCGUGGUCGAGUCCUUCAAGUCAGUCGAGUGAAUCCCUCGUUGGUCGACUGGAAGGUGACCUCUUCUAAGGGUGUCCUUGGGUAGGGUACUUAGAUCAGGUCUGUGACCCUACCCUAGGUACAUGACUCCAUCAGCGCCUGAUUUUAAAGCGCGCUGCUGGUAAGAUUCUGUGUAUAGGCUUUUCCCUAGUAGUGAGUUGACAUUGAUUCUUUCCAGUGCAUGGAGUCAAACUAAAACGCUCAUAGAGGAACCUAUGAAUUAUAUUGUAAUUUUUUUUAUAGAUGAUGUAACCAUUAUCACUAAUAAAUAAAGAGGUUGUUUUAUUUCAAAAAAAAUACUCAUCGAGACAAACUAAAUGUACCAGCAUAAGCUAGUAUGAGAAAAAUACACAAGGAAAUACUAAAUUAAAUCUAAUAGCUUGCCCUCGUUACUUGAGUCAAAUAUAUAUCCCUCAAGUUUUCCACAUUACUUACAUAGUCAAAUACAGUAUAUCUUCACUUGCGUACAUUGCAUACUAGUCAAGACAAAUUUAACCAAGAUACCAACAUCCAACUACCACUUGACAUAAACCAAUAACAAUCAUACAGCAACUGAACUCAGACAUCAUUUGUAAGUUUGUGGAAAUAAGGUAGGUUCUGGACAAGAGACCAUGCGACGGUGACUUCAAACUUACAACGGUGAACUUCAAGCAUACGCAUGCUCCUGGAGGCUUUCUUGGCUCUGAAUGCUUCUGAAUCUCUCUCAACAGUUUGAUCCUCCAAGCUACUUGCCAUGACGGAGACAUCAUUUGUAAGUUUGUGGAAAUAAGGUAGGUUCUGGACAAGAGACCAUGCGACGGUGACUUCAAACUUACAACGGUGAACUUCAAGCAUACGCAUGCUCCUGGAGGCUUUCUUGGCUCUGAAUGCUUCUGAAUCUCUCUCAACAGUUUGAUCCUCCAAGCUACUUGCCAUGACGGAGACUAUCAACUCUCCAUUAGCUUCAACAGAUACAACAUGUCAUGAAAGCUGUAUCAUGCCAUCAGCUGCAAGAGGCAACUUAUCUCCGAACGCAAGCAACUCGAUUUUCUUGGCAUCAAUACUGGCCGUGUUGGCAGAAAUUAAACCUUGAAAACCUCCUGGCCAUUCCCCACCAACAACUCUCACACUGAUGGUGGCCUCCACUGAAUUAACAAUAUCACCCAGCAUCAAUGCCACUGUGCUAAGCUUGCUGGUGCUGACACGUUUAAUCACGUAUGAUUCACUAGAACCAGAAUCAUGAUAAUAAAAAACUAGAUUACUCAAUUCUCUGUCCUCUGAUUCAGUUCUGCCCUUAACUCGCAAGUUAACCUCAAAGGACGCAGGAUCCACAACAACAACAGCGCGGGUAGGACCUGUCAGUCUCAGACAUGGAUUCUGCAUGCAAAAUUUAAAAUGUAAGUUAUGUAUCAUUUAUCUCGAGUAGUGACGGGAGCAAAUAUAACCAAUCUAUGCUGAUGUCAAGAAAGAAUGCGUCCACUGACAAGUAAUCCAUUUAUUACGCUAAACUUAAUAACAAGUGCUUGAAUUAAAUAUAUGUUGGUAGAAAGCACAGGAAAGGCGGAAUUUUCUAGAGGUGAGCCCAUGAAUUUGAGUUGGGUCAGCAAGCAUUUCAAAUGUCUAAAACUCCUGCAUUUUAAACAAAUAAUAUGUAGAUUGAAGAAAAAGAAGAGGCAAACAUUGAACAUCACAACUGAAGCAUACACUUCAAAACUAUGUACAGUAUGGAAACGCUUUAGAGGCAAACAAAAAGGGGAAAUUCUGAGGUGUGCAUAUAUACUCUAAAACUUAUUAUCUAAGAGAUCAGAUUGCAAGCAACACUAGAGGAUUUUCAAGUAGAAUUUCACAUGGGAACACAAGAAAUUAUCGAGUACAUUGAAAAUGAAGCACUGGCCUCAAACAAACUGGUCAAGAGAGGGUAAAAGUUGCACGCGCUAUUCCAUAGGAUUCGACUAUACCUGGAAAUUAUCUACACUGAUGUUGCAUACUUUUAGAACUCAGAACAUCUUACAGACAAAUAACAUGCUUCCCACUUACAUUUGCAGAUUCAUUCAUACUUCAUGGAUUGAUAAUUUGGUAUAUAUUUGCCCAUAACAAUUGGAAGAGAAAGUAAUUAUUUUCUCACUUCACUUCAUGUUUUAAAUCUCUAAUUUAACCAUACAUAUAUAUAUGUCCCAGUAUAUAAAUAACAUUAUGGAGGUAACAAUAAUAUGGCACGUGAGCAACGAGACUACGAACCUUCGUGUCAAUGGUUUGGCAGUUAUCCCUGGAGCGGUUGAAGAUGAUGUUGCGAUUCUGAUCAAAUGAGUCGCGUGCGGCAAUGAUACCAUACACAUCGAGAGGCCAGUCCAAUCCACCUGUGAUGGCUCCAACCCUGACCGAAAAGACCUGCAGAGUACGCACAGGGUAGGCUGUACCGCGUCCACGCGGAGGCUUGUCGUCCGUGUAACACAUGGGCUGGGUGGGUGCUGCAGAUCAAUGUGAACCAAUCAAGACGCUUAGCGGAGAUCAUUAUUCCUAGAGCGAUUGACGAGGAGGGAGAAAGGGAUUCGGGUCUGCUUACAGGGACCGAAGGAGUCGACCCGCAGAGAUUCGCCGGAUUCCCGGUGCCUCCUGGCAUCGACGGCCUCCCAGUAGUCAGUGGGGUCGAGCGCCUGCAGCUUCAUGGCCUCCAUGUUUUCCUCGACCCACUGGUUCGAGAUCCUGAUUUCCUCGGGGUCUCCCGUGGCGAUCCACUUGAUGACGGCGUCCAGCUCCCCCUUCCGGUCCUGGUUCCUCCGGCCGCCGCCGCGACGUCCUCCUCGGUCAUCGUCUUGGGCUUGAAGACGCUCCUGUCCUUGGCCCUCUCCGCCUCCAAGCUCUUCCUCGCCCACUCCAGAGCCGCCGCCUUCCGCGCGCUCUUCUUUUUGUUUUUGGGGGCGUGGGCUGUCUUCCUCCUCUCCGCCUCCUCCGCCGCCUUCGUCGUCCCCUCCUGCCGUACCGCCAGUAUCAAAUCGACGUACGCAUCAAACUGCUCCUGCCGUGUGAACUCCAUCGCCGCUUUGCUAGAGAGAAGAGCGAGAGAACCCUAACCCUAGAUCGACCCUCGCCUUCUCUUCUCUUCUCUUCUCAGGGUGGGGGAUUUGGGGGAUGUCGGGGUGCCUAGAAACAAGGCCGUGCUGCCUGAGGUGAGGUCGAUUCGGAUCCGAUAGCCCAAGUGCGUUCUGCGCGUUCCCUCUUUCGUUCUUUUCGUUCGUUUCUUAUAUAAUAUACAGGUUGCUUUUCUUUGUUUUGUUUUAUUUAUUAUUCAAUUUAACUUUUUGGGUGUUAUUUCUCGUUCUUUCUUUUUUAACAGCCCAAUUUGGAAAAUGGCAUCGCUUAUUUCUUUUAUCAGUGAAAUCUUUACAGAGAUCUUGAUUCAUCUCAGGACUCACUUUUUGGUGCACCAGAUUCAGAAUUAUCUCCGCAUUAACUUAUUGGUACUUGGUGUGUAGAUGAGCAAAGAAGUCUGUUGCCAUCUGUUUUCUGAUCAUUAACAAUCUGGUCUGCUCCGUUCUUCAGAUAAGCUAAGCGAUUCUUAUUUGCUCUCCAAGUGGCCUUGCGGUGAAAAAAGGUCGGUCGUGUUGCGACCCCCCCUCUCAAAUCCAUGUGAUUCUUGACCUCUGUAGCCACAUAACUUACUCGCAACAAAGCAAGUCAUCCAGCUCAACUGUUUCUGUUGCACAACACUGGCUUCUUCAUCCUGAGACAUGAUAGAUCAGCUCAAGCUUCUUCCAUGUCUUUUCAAAUUUCUGUGGCCACAACUGCGUCACCCCUCACCUUCAUUUUGCGCAGCCUCAUUCACAUCAGCCGCUCCCACCCAGCAGGAGGCAAGGAAACAGAGGCCGAGGGAUGAAUAUUUUGACGCCAACAAAGCAAAGCCAAAUGCCUUGGAGCUCUUCGUUGUGCUCCCGAUACAGGAACACCCAACGACGCCCUUCCGAACCACAGCUCCACCUGCCCCAACCAUGCAGCAGUGCCGCGCUUGGGACAGCCAGAAGACAAGGUGCCUGGCUCAAGGGACGCUGCAGUGCAGAGCAGCCACCCCAGAAUGCCAAUCCCCUUCCUAAUUUGUGAUCCCCUUCACCCGCGCCUCCAAGAGAUAACAUAGUCAAAUACAUAUCUUAAUUUGUCCACAUUACAUAGUCAAAUACAUAUCUUAAUUUGUCCACAUUACAUGUCAAAUAUAUCUUGGCUUGCCCACAUUACAUACUAGUCAAGACAAAUUUAACUAGGACACUACAUUACAUAGUCAAAUAUCUUAGCUUGCCCACACUACAUAUACUAGUCAAGACACAUCUAACCAGGAUACAACUAACAUCCAACACACAGGUACCACUUUGAGAUAAACCAGAGGCCAUCAGUAGGGCAAUAACAAUCAUCCAGCAACAAAACCCAGACAGUCUUUGCUAGUUCGGGACAAAAGACCAUGCGAUGGUGACUUCCAACUUACAAGAGUGAACUUCAAGUAUUCACCUGCUCCUGGAGGCUUUCUUGGCUUUGAAUGCUUCUGAAUCUCUCUCAACAGUUUGAUCCUCCAGGCUACUUGCCAUGACACAGACUCUCAACUCUCCAUCAGCUUCAACAGAUACAACACACCGUGAAAGCUUUAUCGUGCCAUUAGCUACAACAGGCAACUUAUCAUCUCCGAACGCAAGCAACUCAAUUUUUUGGGCGUCGAUACUGGCGGUAUUGGCAAAAAUUAGACCUCUACAACCUUCCGACCAUUCCCCACGAACCACUCUCACACUGAUGGUGGCCUCCACUGAAUGAACAAUAUCACCCAACAUCAAUGCCACUGUGCUAAGCUUGCUAGUGCUGACAUUUUUAAACGCGUACGAUUCGCUAGAGCCAGAAUCACGAUAAUAAACAGCCAGAUAGCUCAAAUCUCUAUCCCCAGAUUCAGUUUUGCCCUUUACUCGCAAGUUAACCUCAAAGUACACAGGAUCCACAACAACAACAGCGCGGGU